CCGAAUGGGCUUGGUGGCUUGUGUUCGGGGAGUGGCUUCUCUCCCUGGAGAAGGUUACGAGUUUUGUCAUAUGGCUUUUGUUCUGGUGGUGGCUUCUCUCCCUGGGGUGGUUUGCCGAAUGGGCUUGGUGGCUUGUGUUCGGGGAGUGGCUUCUCUCCCUGGAGAAGGUUACGAGUUUUGUCAGAUGGCUUGUGUUCUGGUGGUGGCUUCUCUCCCUGGGGUGGUUUGCCGAAUGGGCUUGGUGGCUUGUGUUCGGGGAGUGGCUUCUCUCCCUGGAGAAGGUUACGAGUUUUGUCAGAUGGCUUUUGUUCUGGUGGCGGCUUCUCUCCCUGGGGUGGUUUGCCAAAUGGGCUUGGUGGCUUGUGUUCGGGAACUGGCUUCUCUCCCUUGGGAGGUUCAGUUGGUGGCUGCUGUUCCGUAGGUGGUUUCUUCACCGGCGGCUUGUGCUCCGGAAGCGGCUUCUCUACCUGGAGAAGCUUACGAGUUUUGUCCGAUGGCUUGUGUUGUGGUGGUGGCUUCUCUCCCUGGGGUGGUUUGCCAAAUGGAGUUGGUGGCUUGUGUUCGGGGAGUGGCUUCUCUCCAUUGGGAGGUUUAGUUGGUGAUUGGUGUUCCGUAGGUGGUUUCUGAAGUGGGGGAUGCUUGGGGUAGUCAGCAAGAGACGAGGUAGUGAGAACCACCAGUCCCAGCAGCAACACUAGCAAGCAUGUGGAAGACAUCUUUGAGUUCAGGCUGAGAUCUGUGCAAGGAUAACAGAAUUAGGUGGCCUUUUAUAGAGGCCUGGACCCAACACCCAUAUGACACGUGUCAUGCACUCAUGGUGACACAUAAUUCUAUGGGACCAUUUGGGUCCUACAGAAGUUGCAAAGUUGGACUACUGAGGUGUGAUCACAACUUUUGUCCUUAUUGCUUUCUCUGCGGCCAUUGCACGAUUUCCUUUAGCAUCAUUUUCUUGGCUAAAUAAGCGUAUUAUAUUUGUGGCAGACCGUCCACGUGUCAUAAACAGAUAUAUUAUAAUAAUGUAGUAUGCUUUUCUCCAAUGGAACAUGACACUCUUCUAAGUCUUGUUUUAAAUAUUGUGCAGGAUUACUUUAUACGUUGCAGUUCCAAGUCAAAAUUGGUGGGCAAACGUUGGCCUUUUUUCAUUUCACCUAAGAUUAAUGCUCACCUGGGAUAGGCACUACAUGACUUAUCUGCUCUUUUACUGUAAAGUUGCUUUGUGUAUGAGAUACACCUCCCCUGCACACCCUCAACAUUCGUUGCUCUGUUUUCCUUGUGUCCAGACGAGGAUAUUAAUUGGAGGCUGACAAAACGACUGCUAGCCCAGGAUUUACAAGGUCCUGGUUUGAGGCUUCGGUGAAAGUAUUUUUGAAAAGACACACAUAGAGAUAGUGCGUUUGGUGCAAUGCAGCACUGUGAGCCAUUCUGACGCGUUCUUAAUUUCAAAACUAAUGAAUGCUUCAAAAUUUUAAGAAGUGACAUUUCCAAAUAUUUGAGUUCGUUUAAUUGAACAUUGGAUAACUAGUGAUCAUAGAUUAUUAUCUGUGCUUGGCACUAUAAGAGGGUAUAUGCUUCUUUUUCUGGCCCCUCCUUCAAGGGAGGAGGGACAAUGUGAUCUGUAACGUUAGAAGCUAUUCCAUGUCAUCUUUGGGCUCAGUUCAAAACUAAAAGAUAAUGGGGGGGGGGGGGGGGGGCAUAUCAUUUUAUAUUUCUUCUAGAAGGUUUGUUCUGGAAAUAUUUCACAGGAGCAUAUCUUUUUCUUCUAUUACGUCAUCCGCAGCCUCCAAUAGGUCGGUUAACAAGCCACCGAGUUGAAAAGUUGGAAAAAUGGGAACACAGCCCGCCUCUUGUAUUCAGUAGUUAAAUAAAAGGUCACUAGAAGUGAGAUCCCUUUUGGCGUCUUGAUUUUCAAUCCAGCACCUCUGUGACCUGACAAACCAAAAAAACUAAAAAAUAAAAAACAGUACGUGGGUUGGUGUUAAGCAUCAAGACAUGUUAAUGAAAGAAGGUAGAGAAUAGGAUAUUGAAAUCCCAAUCCUGAUAACAUGAUUUUCUUUGCUAACAACCAUAUUAUAUUUUAUCAAGAAAGAGUAAUGCAUGUGGCGUCCAUCAAGACCCAUUAGAGUUCCGCUAAAGCUAUAGUUCUGUCAACGUUAUCAUUUACGUUUCCUCUAGAUAAUGGCAUUUUCCUCUAAAGCUCUUGCACCAUUAGGCUUCAAGUCAAAAUUUCACAUGUGAACUUUGGAAAUUUUCUCCAUUUGCCCCUAAGGAUACAGUUAGAAUUGACUUAAAAUCCUGAUUGAUAUGUACUAUUAACCAAAGAAUAUUGUAUAUAAUAAUUGAAAUAUUGUUGAUUCAUCGUGGAAAUACAUUUUGUAAGGAAAGUUGUUGAGAAUUUAGUAUGCUAUAUGGAGAAAAAAGUCAUGACUUAAGGUUGUGUAUGUAUAUUCUAUAUCAAAUAUUAGGUAGGAAUGUGGGAAAGAGCAGAGUGUAAUGAUAAGAAACAAAGAAAUAUAAGAUAUUCUUGAAAGUGGAAAAUAUAAAAUGGCUAACGAGUCAAAUUUAUGAUGCGUAAGGGGGAUCAUGUCACAUAAGAAAACCAUGGCAUACUAAAGACGUACGUGUGGUAUGGAGUAAUAAUUUUGUUAAAAUAAGUUUCUUGUUGGAGUACAUUAGGUGACUAUUCAUAACGUAUCAAAUUAAAGAGUCAAGUGCAUCAAUGAAGGCAUAUGUAGAAAAUUUGUUUGUGACAUGUACCAUAAAGAUAAGAUUGACUUGAUAGAAUUUAGUCUAAGUAGGAGUUGUUAAAGGUGUCUUAAAUUUCUAAUUGAUGUAUAUUUUUUUCUAAAAAAAUAUUAUAUAGAUAUUUUAAUAAAUGAUUAAUUCUUUGUAAAAAUACUUACAUAAUAAAAAACAUCAUUAAAAAUAUCUUUAUAAAUAUUUUAAGUUACAAGAAGGAAAAAAACCACUGUGAGAUAAUGAUGAACAUGCAACACUGUACCAAGUAAAUAAAAAUGUGAUAAAAAAAAAAGAGAAACACUCGAUAAAGGAAGGCUCGUAUAUAAAGAGUAAUAUUUUUAAUCAUAUGAUAGAAUGAUUUUCUCUCAUUCAUGAAUAUAGGCAAGAUUGGGGAACCAUUAUAAAAUUUUGUACACCUCGUGUAAAUUGAUGUUUGUCUUCAUAUUUUACACCAACAAAUGACAUUGAAGUUGUCAUUGAUAAAAGGGAAAAGGCAUGCCUCCACACCAUGUGCUUGAUUCGAAUGGUUCAAGUUUGAAGAAUUUUCUCCGGAAGAUCUAAAACAUUUUCGCCUUUAAAUUUCAUUUGAUUAUUAAUAUCCGAAAAAAUAGUUAAAUACUCUUUCUAUUUUUGAGUUGUUGAAUUUUUUGAAAGUUUUUAUAUUUGUUAUCAAGAAUUUCUAUUUUAUUAAGGGUGAAUAUUUAUAAAUAAGAUAUUAUAUAAUAUUUGGAUAAGAGAGAAUGGUGGAAUAUAAUAAAGUUUUAAUCCUUCCCAAUUUUGAACCUUUUUUUUUUUUUUUGAUAUAAUCGCCUUUCUCUUGCAAUCCUAUUAUCAGGUACCUUAUAUUUGCUGAUGCUAUCUGGAACUAAAUUCCAAUCAGGCAUUGUCCAAUUACUAAUAGGACAGAUCAUAUCUCUCUGUUUCUAAACUAACAUGUAUCGUAAUGUGACCUCAUAAGGAAGGCUAGGAAGAUGGAGGAUUUUGUGGGAAGCGACCAGAAUCAGAUGGAAGAGAGAUAGCCCUGUUGACCUAAUGGCUGUAAUAGGAGAAGCGUGUGGUUUUAUGGGACUUAACUGAUACUAAACCUGUAUGAUGCUUGGAGUGGUGUUUCUUUCAUUUUGUUAAGAAAAUAUGGCAGCAUACAUGCUUUCAACUGAGUGCAUCAGAGCAUCCAUAACAGAUGGUCUGCAACCCUAGGUGCAUGCCACUUUCUGACUGAUAAUGAAAUUGUCAGGUACCUGGCCUUGACUAAGCUCAACAGCAUCACAUAAAGAGAAGCUUUCAUACUUAGAUUACUGUUUAAAGUUUUUGCUUAUUUGAUUUCUUAAUGCCAUUAUGACAUUAUUGAUUCAAUUCUGCUUCCGAUUUUCGAAGUUCUGGGCAUCUACUGAUUGCAUCAUUAUAUGAGAAGUUGCAUGAGUUUAUGUAUCCUGUUAUUGUUCCUUUGCGAUUUCACUGCUCACGGGACUAACCUCUCCAUUCAGUCGAAAUGAAUUGUAAUUUCUUUACUGGUAGCAGUAGUACUUUUCAUAGCAAAGAUAAUAGAAAAUAUGAAAUAUAAAUAGAAGGAAAUCUGGAUUGUAGAUAGCACCAUAAGUAACACUCAAUAUUCACUACAUAAUAAAUAGACAGUGUUACAUAGGUAGAGAAACCUACAAUGAGUACUCAUCACCAUUCUCAAACAGAAACAUAGCAGCGACUUAUACAUAGAACCUAUAGGCUCGCAGGGAAAGAGUAACAUGAUAAGUUCACAGCGGGUAGCAGCUCUUAUUUUACGUAUUACUCAAAAUCUCAAACUAACCAAAGUCACUCAGUUGGGAUGGGUAGGAGAUGGUGGUUUGUGGGGUGGCUUCUGGGUAGGAGCUGGUGGCUUCUUUGUUGGAGUUGAAGGAGGCAUAUUCUUCUGAGGUGGCUUGUAUGACUCUUCGGCACUCUCUGCAGGAGGGUGCCCAGGGUUGUGACCAGAAGGAGGUGGCUUCUGUCCCUUUGGUGGUUUGCCUAAUGGGCUUGGUGGCUUGUGCUCCGGGAGUUGUUUCUCUCCCUCGAGUAGGUUUCGAGUUUUGUCAGAUGGCUUGUGUUCUGGUGGUGGCUUCUCUCCCUGGGGUGGUUUGCCGAAUGGGCUUGGUGGCUUGUGUUCGGGGAGUGGCUUCUCUCCCUGGAGAAGGUUACGAGUUUUGUCAGAUGGCUUUUGUUCUGGUGGCGGCUUCUCUCCCUGGGGUGGUUUGCCAAAUGGGCUUGGUGGCUUGUGUUCGGGAACUGGCUUCUCUCCCUUGGGAGGUUCAUUUGGUGGCUGGUGUUCCGUAGGUGGUUCCUUCACCGGCGGCUUGUGCUCCGGAAGCGGCUUCUCUACCUGGAGAAGCUUACGAGUUUUGUCAGAUGGCUUGUGUUGUGGUGGUGGCUUCUCUCCCGGGGGUGGUUUGCCAAAUGGACUUGGUGGCUUGUGUUCGGGGAGUGGCUUCUCUCCAUGGGGAGGUUUAGUUGGUGGUUGGUGUUGCGUAGGUGGUUUCUGAAGUGGGGGAUGCUUGGGGUAGUCAGCAAUAGACGAGGUAGUGAGAACCACCAGUCCCAACAGCAACACUAGCAAGGAUGUUGAAGACAUCUUUGAGUUCAGGCUGAGAUCUGUGCAAGGAUAAAAGAUUUAGGUGGCCUUUUAUAGAGGGCUGGACCCAACACCCAUAUGACACGUGUCAUGCACUCAUGGUGACACAUAAUUCUAUGGGACCAUUUGGGUCCUACAGAAGUUGCAAAGUUGGACUAUUGAGGUGUGAUCACAACUUUUGUCCUACUUGCUUUCUCUGCGGCCAUUGCACGAUUUCCUUUAGCAUCAUUUUCUUGUCUAAAUAAGCGUAUUAUAUUUGUGGCAGACCGUCCACGUGUCAUAAACAGAUAUAUUAUAAUAAUGUAGUAUGCUUUUCUUCAACGGAACUUGACACUCUUCUAAGUCUUGUUUUAAAUACUGUGCAGGAUUACGUCAUAAGUUGCUUGUUCCAAGUCAAAAUUGGUGGGCAAACGUUGGCCUUUUUUCAUUUUCCCUAAUAUUAAUGCUCACCUGGGAUAGGCACUACAUGAUUUAUCUGCUCUUUUACUGUGAAGUUGCUUUGUGCAUGAGUUACACCUCCCCUGCACACCCUCAACAUUUGUUGCUCUGUUUUUCUUGUGUCCAGACGAGGAUAUUAAUUGGAGGCUGACAAAACGACUGCUAGCCAAGGAUUUACAAGGUCCUGGUUUGAGGCUUUCACGAAAGUAUUUUUGAAAAGAUACACAUAGAGAUUGCGCGUUCGGUGCAAUGCAACAAUGUGAGCCAUUCUGAAGUCUUAAAUUUCAGAUUAAUGAAUGCUACAAAAUUCUAAGAAGGGCCGUUUCCAAAUAUUUGAGUUCAUUCAUCCGAACAUCGGGUAUAUGCUUCUUUCUCUAGCCCCUCCUUGAAGGGAGGAGGGACAAUGUGAUCUGUAUCGUUAGAAGCUAUUCCAUGUCGUCAUCUUUGGGCUCAGUUCAAUACUAAAAGAUAUGGGCGGGGCCCUUAUCAUUUUAUAUUUCUUCUAGAAGGUUUAUUCUGGAAAUCUUUCACAGAAACAUAUCUUUUUCUUCUCUACGUGAUCCGUGGUUUGAAAGUUGGAAAAAUGGGUCCGUUAACAAGCCACCGAGUUGAAAAGUUGGAAAAAUGGCAACACCGCCAACCUCUUGUAUUCGAUAGUUAAAUAAAAGGUCACUGGAAGUGAGAUCCCUUUUGGCCUCUUGAUUUUCAUUCCAGCAUCUCUAUGGCCUGAUAAAUUAAAAAACUAAAAAAAAAGACAGUACGUGGGUUGGUGUUAAGCAUCAAGAGUCAAGACAUGAUAAUGGAGAGAAAGGAUAUUCAAAUUCCAGUUCUGACAACAUGAUUUUCUUUGCUGAACUACCAUAUUAUAUUUGAUCAAGAAAGAGUAGUGCAUGUGGCCAGGAUCAAGACAUACAUUAAUUUCCACAUGAUGAAGACAGUUUCUGAGAGUUUCUUCUAAAGCUCUUGCGCGAGUAGGCUUCAAGUCAAAAUCUCCCAUGUAAACACUGGUUUUUCUUUCAUUGCCACUAAGGAUGCAGUUAAUAUUGACUUAAGAUCCUACGUGAUAUAUUUUUUUAAAAGAGCUAUAUUGUAGAUAAUAUUUGAAAUAAUGUUGAUUCGUUGUGGAAAUAUAUUUGUAAGGAAAGUUGUUGACAAUUUAAUAUAGUAUAAGAAGAAAAAAGUUAUCAACUAGCUAGAGAUGAGUAUGUAAAGUGAGGCUCACGAUUCAACGCGUAAAUAUAAGAUAUUUUAAGGCUCAAUAGUUAUGAUAUCUAUUUUAUUUUUUGUAUCUCAUAUAUUCAAAGAUAUAGUAAAAUGAUUUUACAUAUAUAUAUAUAUAUAUAUAUGAACAUAACUAUUUGUGCCAAUUGAUUUUUAUCUUUAUUUUGUAUAUUAGUAAUUAUAUUAAAGUUUUUACUAAUAUAAUAACUAAUAUAAAAGCUUUUUCUAAAAGAGUCAACAGAGCAAAACACUUAUUAUAAAAAAUAAUUUUGAUUGAAGGUGGAGUCAAUUAUUCUUUAUUUAACAUGUAAUGCAUACGGCGUGUACUUCAUAACUAAAGUAUAUAAGUGUAACAUCUCUUAUAUAUUCUCAUUCAAUCUCGAAAGUGGAAAUUUUAAAAAGAUUAAACGGUUCAAAUUUGUCGUGCAUAAAGGGGAUCAUGUCACAUAAGCAAACCAUGGCAUACCAAAGACAUAGGUAUGGACUAAGAAUUUUUUUCAAAUAAGUUUCUUAUUAGGGUACAUUAAUAGGUGACUUUUUAUGACAUAUCAAAGGAGUCAAGUGCACCAAUAAAAACAUAUAUAGAAAAUUCAUGCAUGACAUGUAUCACUAAGAGAAGAUUGACUUGAUAGAGUUUAAUCCAAAUAGGAGAUUGUUAAAAGGUGUCUCAAAUUCUUGAUUGAUAUAUAUUUUUUUUAUUAAAAAGGUUAUUAUAUAGAUAUUUCAAUAGACUAUUAAUUCUUUGUAAAAAUAGUUAUAUAAUGAGGAUGGUGAUUAAAAAUAUCUCUAUCAAUAUUUUGGAUUAUAAAAAGAAAAAAAAUGAGAUAAUGAUAAACAUAUAAAACUUGUACAAGUAGAUAAAGAUGUGAUGAAAGACACUUGAUGAAUGAAGGCUUUGUAUUUCAAGAUAUAAAUAUAUGGAGCAAAACUCUUAAUUAUAUGAUCAAAUGAUUCUCUCAUAUUCAUGAAUAUAAGCAGGAUUGGGGAACCAUGAUAGAAUCUUAUAUGCCUCUCCAUGUAGAGUGAUCGAUGUUUAUCUUCAUAUUUUACACCAGUGAAUGACAUUGAAACUCUUAUUGAUAAAAGGGAAAAGGCAUGGCCUCCACCCCAAGAAAAACAAGUAACCUCGGUUUAAAUCACUAGUCUACACCCCGAAGAGAGAACUAGCCAAACCUACUAAAAGAGAAACUUAACAAUUUAGAAAGAAACCGUCCAUGAUAAAGGGCCCCUAAAGGUCCAAUUCAGUGAGGUCGUGAACAAAAACACUUUCAUGUCAAAACAGAGAUAGGUACCACCAAAAUGUAAAGGGAAAGAUGUAAACCACGUCGAACUUUGGUAAUCAAUGGUAAAGAUAGCAUGAUAGCUAAAAGCACUAAAGCUGUGCUUGGUAUGCAAAAAUGAAAAGUGGAAAUCAGCGUCUUAUUCUUUUUCACCUUUAUUCACAUAUUAGGAUAACUAAUAUCUAAUGUUUUUUAUGUCUCAAAUUCUAUUCCAUGUUAUGGUAAACUUUCAUCUUGUUUAGAUCACUUUUGUCUGGUUUGGGCUCAAGACGAUAAGCCUAUAGAGACUUCAUAUUGGGUUGAAUCGAUGCCCUUGAUCUGAUCUGUUCGUUAGAAAAAUCUGAAUUAUUAUAAGCAUUUAGAUAAAAAAUAAAUAAAUGUGAAACACAAACUACUCCCUGCACAACCUUGACCCUAGUUACUCAGUUUCACUGCUCACAGGACUAACCUCUCCAUUCAGUCGAAAUGAAUUGUAACAAGAAGAUUUUUGACAGGAGGACGGUAGUUUAAAAUAAUAAUUUCUAAAGUACUUUUGUGAAAAAAAAUAAUUCCAAACGUGGAUUUUAUCAAGUAAAAAGAAAAAAAAAAGUUAUUUUCUUUUAAAAUCUGUUCUUCUAAAGAUGAUAUAUAUACCAAAAAAAAAAAUUGUUUUCUGAAGGUAAAAUUUUUAAAAUUCAUUUUUAAAAAAAUUUACACACUAAAAUUAUCUUUUCAAGAGAAGAUUUUUUUAAUUUUAAAUAAUUAUUAAUUUAUAAUUAAUUUGUUAUUAAUUAUUUAUUAAUUUUUUUAUUUGAAAAAUGCAUUUAUAAAAAACAAAUUUGUUAUUAAUUUAUUAAAUAAUUUUUACAAAAUAAAUAAUUUUUUUUUAUUUUAAUUUUAAAAUUAAUUUUAUUAUAUAAAUUUUAAAAUUAAAAAUAUUAAUAUUUAAUUUAAAAUUUAACUAUAAAAGGAAUAAAAUAUAGAAAAAUAAAUUAAUUUAUUAUUCAAUAAAUUAAUUUUCAAUAAAAUUUUCAGCAUUAAGAGAUAAAUUUUUAAGUAUUAAUCAAUUUAAAAAGAAAUAAUGAUCAUUUGUAUAUUAAGAUAUUUUAUUUAGUAAUUAUGAAUGAUAAACAACUAAAGUAAUUUGAAAAAAUAAUAAAAUAUUUAAAAAAUAAUAAUUUAAUACACGUAAAAUUAGAAAUGAUUAACUAUUUUUUAUUAAGAAAAAAUUGAGGAAAUAUUUUGUUAUUUAAAAUUUUUUAUUUGUUUUCAAUUUUUAAUGUUAUAGGUUUCAAGAAAAUUGAUCAAAUAAAAAUUAAGAAGUCAUUUUUUCAAAAACUAUAUAUCUAAAUAAAAGCCUUGAAAUUCAAAUACACAAUAUCAUAAAUAUAAACACCAAGUCAAUCCUUAAUUAUCAAAUGUUUUUAAUAUUAAAGAAUCAAAAUCACCUACUAUCAUGAUAAUAAGAAAACCAAUAAUAUUGUUCAUAUAAAUACUAAAAAGCUAACAAAUAUCCCAAACAAUUAAUAAAGUAUCAAACAUGAUAAAAAGUCAAUUAUUAUCAUGAAUGCAAAAAAUCAAUAAUUUUGUUUAUAUGAACCAUCAACAAAGAAAAAAAAAAUCAAUAUCUAAAUAUUAAACAUAAUUUAUAUUUUUAUAAAUAUUAUUGUUGAUAAAUAUCUUAACAAUUAUAAUUUUAGUAAAUAAAAUUAAUUAAUUUUAGUUUAAGAAUUAUUUUUUUAUACUUUCGUAUUCUUAUCAAAAAUCCCCAUUUUGCAUGUCUCCUUUGGCAUGACUUUCUUACCUAAACAAGCAUAUAUAUAUAUAUAUAUAUAUAAAAUAUUUGGUUAAGAAAGAGUACUAAAGUUUAUAUGGCACACAUCAAGAUAGAAACAGAAGUGGAAGAUAAUCCAAAUGUAUGAACAGAUAUAUUAUAUCCAUGUAGUGGUAGUGACUUCAUUAUUUACUUUUAUCUAAUGGAGCAUGACACACUUCUUCUGAAUAUUUUGCACGAUUAUGUUAUGUGUCAGCUUGUUCUAAGUCAAAACUAGUGAUAAAAAUCGGUUUUUUUUGCAUUUCCUUCAUGAAGAUGGCACCUGGAUGGGGCACUACAUGAGUGGCAUAGCACGAAGUGAUUUAUCUGCUCCCUUUACUAUAAAGUGCUUUGUGUAUAAGUUACACCUCCCCUGCACUGCCUCAACAUUUGUUGUUCUGUCUUCCGUCUGUCCAAACGAGGACAAACGUAUGUUGUAGGUUGACAAAACCACAGCUAGCCUAGGAUUUGCAAGGAUCUAGUUUGAUUCGUAUGCAAAAGGAUUGGUGAAAAGAUUCACAAAGAUAAUGCUUUUUGCAAUGCAAUCUUGUUCUAAUUCAACAGUGUGGACCAUUUUCAUGUAAUGCUUCAACUAGAUGUCAGUUUCAUGAAUUUUUGUUCAUCUAAUUGAUCACUGGAUAGGCCAUAACCCGAAGAAAUUCAAAAUUCCCUUCAGUACUGUAGCUAAGGAAAGAUCCCUAUCUACCACUGGGAUUUUAAGAGGGUAAAAAUGUAGGUGGGUGCCUAUAUCAUUUGCACUUCACUAUAGGCCUCUUUGGGAAGAUUUCUUCUGAAGACAUUUCAAAGAAACAUAUUUUUCUCUUCUCUCCGUAAACGGCAGCUGCAAGUCAGUCCAUUCACAGGCCACCGAGUUGAAAAGGCUGGAAAAUUGGCCAAAGCACCCGCCUCCUGGAUUCCAUGGGUAAGGAAAAGGUCACUGGAGGUGUGAUCCCUGUUGGCCUCUUGAUUUCCAUUCCGCCAUCUAUAUGACCUGAUAACCCAAAAACACAGAAGGAAAACGUCACCUGGGUUCAUAGUAAGCAUCAAGUCAUGAUAGAGACCAGACAACAUGACCAACAAAGAGUAGCGAAUGGGGCCAACAUCAAGCCCCAUUACGGUUAGAAGAUGGAAGAAGUAGAAGACAAUCCAAUUCUGAUAGAUUCGGGCAAAUGUAGUGCUGUUCAAACUUAAUCAUUUACUAUUUCUUCAUGAAUCACGGCAUUUUUCUUCUGAAAAUUUUCCAAGAUUAGGCCUCUGAAGAAAAAUUUCAUAUGUAAAUUGGUAUAUUAAGGAAAAGGCGUUACAAAGGUGAAAAAAAACCAAUCAAAUCUUAUAUAUGACAUCUCAAAAAUAUGAACUUGCUAUAAAUAUUUAAAAUCAAAAUCUUGCACAUCACCUCGUAGUACGAACUUGCUAUAAAACUUGAAAAUCAAGAAGAAAGGGGCAGUAUUGGACGAGACUACUUAGCACAUAUUAUUAUGAUGUUUUUUCAUUUUCUUAAUGUUGUUUUUAUGUCUUAAAUUCUAUUAUUCUAUGUUACGGUAAACAUUCAUCUUGUUUGUGUGGAAUAGGAUCACUUUUCUCUGGGUUGAGUCGAUGCCCUUAGUUAAUUUGUUCAUUUGAAUAAACUAAAUUAUUAUAAGUAUUUAGAUAAGAAAAACGUGAUACAUAAAUUACGCCUCUCGGCACAACUUCAACACUGGUUACUCUGUUUCAGUUUCCUCACACAAGAUUAUUGGUUCUAGGGUUUAUUUGGUUUUGGUUUGAUUCUAAUUGCUAAACUUUCUCAAGGAAGAUGUUAUAUAGGGAGUGAGAAACCUUCACUCUUGGCUACCUCCAAGAGAAGAGCAAGUGGUCUGAAUCAAAGAUAUACUGCUCACUUUUUCUUCUUCUAAGGACAGCUAUGACCUUGCUUUAAGGUUCGAAUAGCCUAAUGCAACCUCCCAUUUCUCAAGUCAGCUGAUGAUGUAAGUCACCUUGGCUUUCCACAUUCAUACGGUGAGGACGUUUGUGGGUGUAAUUCUCUUAACAGUUUUCAUUUUAUAUGGAAAAAUUCAUAAUUAAGGGUAAUUACUGAUUCCAUUUGACAGUGACCAAGUUUAAAAUAUUAAUUCAUAUAUUAAAUGCACAUUAAAAAAUCAUGGAAUAAAUAUAUUUACUAAUAUAUAGUUCUUUUGCCAUGUUCUGUCACAGAAGCAUCGAACUUUCCCUAGAAAUUUUUGCAUGGUAUUCUACUUAUGAUUUUGAAAACUCUAGGCACCUGAGGCCACUAAUUGCAUGGUUGGAUGAGGAGCUGCAUGAGAUUAUGUAUCGUGUUGUUCCUUAACUACAAAUAUCAGUUUUAAGUAGCAUCUCCAUGUGACAUUUUCCUGAUGCAAUUUCGCUGUCCACCAACAAAUUUCACCAUGCAGCAAGAUGAAUUGUAAUUUCUUUAUUGUUAUCAACAGCUUUAAUUAAUCUUGAUAUAUAUAUAUAACUUAGUAGAAGUAUAUUAAUCUAGAUUGUAGUUGCACUAAGAUAAUAGGCAAUAUUAUAACAGUGCCACAAUGCUCAUCGCCAAAUAGAAAGGUAGAAAAACUACAAUGAGUAACUCACAACAUUCUCAAACAGGACAUAGCGGCGACUGAUACAUAGAACACUAUUGGCACUCAGGAAAUGAUAAGAUCAGUGCCCAGCAGGCAGCACGUCUUAUUUUACAUACUACUUAAAACUAACCAAAGUCAUUCAGUUGGGAUGGGUGGGAGAUGGUGGUUUGUGCGGUGGCUUUUGGGUAGUUGGUGGCUUCUUUCCUGGAACUGAUGGUUUUUUUGUUGGAGUUGAAGGAGGCUUAAUCGUCUGAGGUGGCUUGUAUGAGUCUUCAGCACUCUCUGCGGGAGGGUGCCCAGGGUUGUGACCAUAAUGGGGUGGCUUCUCUCCCUUAGUUGGUUUGCCAAGUGGGCUGGCUGGCUUGUGCUCCGGGAGCGGCUUCUCUCCCUUAGGUGGUUUGCCAAAUGGGCUUGCUGGCUUGUGCUCUGGGAGCGGCUUCUCUCCCUCAAGAAGUUUACGGGUUUUGUCAGAUGGCUUGUGUUCUGGUGGUGGCUUCUCUCCUUGGGGUGGUUUGCCAAAUGGACUUGGUGGCUUGUGUUCGGGGAGUGGCUCCUCUCCCUUGGGAGGUUUAGUUGGUGGCUGGUGUUCCAUAGGUGGUUUCUCAACCGGGGGCUUGUUCUCCGUUGGUGGUUUAUGAACUGGGGGAUGCUUGGGGUAGUCAGCAAGAGACGGGGUGGUGAGAACCACCAGUCCCAGCAGCAACACUAGCAAGUAUGUGGAAGAGUACAUCUUUGAGUUCAGGCUGAGAUUUGUGCGAGACUUGAAGAAUUAGGUGGCCUUUUAUAGCUGGCUGCACCCAACACUCACAUGACACGUAUCAUGGUGACACAUGUGCUAUGGGUCCAUUUGGGUCCUACAGAAGCUGAAAACUUUUGACUAUUGAGGUGUGGUCACAACUUUUGUCCCUAUUGCUUUCUCCGCAACCGUUUUACAUGUUUCCUUUGGCAUAAUUUUCUAAGCUAAACAAGCAUAUAUCAUAUUUGGUUAAGAAAGAGUAAAGUGUAUAUGGCACACAUCAAGGAAGAGAAACAGAAAAAGUGGGAGACAAUCAAUUGUGAUAAACAGAUAUAUUAUAUUCAUGUAGUACUAGUGACUUUAUCAUUUACUUUUAUCCAAUAGAUCAUCACUCUUUCUUCUAAAUAUUUUGGAGGAUAAUGGUACAUGUUGCUUGUUUCCAAGUCAAAAUUGGUGGCAAAAAUCGGCAUGAUACGAAAGGAUUGGUGAAAAGAUUCACAUAGAUGGUGCUUUGUGCAAUGCAGUCUUGCUCUAAUUCAACAGAGUGGACCAUGGUGAUGUAUUUUAAAUUUUAAAUUUUAAAUUAAUGCAUGCUUCAAAGUUUUAACUAGAUGUCACUUCCAUGGAUUUUUGUUCAUUUAAUUGAGCACAGGAUAGGCUAUCAAACUUGAAGUAAUAUAAAAAUCCCUUCAUUACUGUAACUAAUGAAAGAUCAUUAUCUGCGCUUGGUAUUUUGCCAAGGUAUUUGCUGCUCUUUCUAGCCCUGUCUUACAGUUAAGGACAAUGUGAUCUAGUUAACCUUAGAAGCUAUUCCAUGUCAGAUACAAGAGAUCAAGCACAUUAUCUUUGGGCUCAGUUCAAAACUAUAAUAUAUGGGUGGGGUGGAGGCCCAUAUCAUUUGCAUAUCACCACUAUUGGUUUAGUUUGGAAGGUUUCUUCUGGAAGAUUGCUGCUUUCUGGAAUCAUUUCAAAGAAAUAUAUCUUUUUGUUCUCUUGGUGACGAGCAGCGGCAAUCAAGUCUGUUGACAAACAACCGAGUUGAAAAGUUUGAAAAUUGGUCACAGCCCACGUCCAUGGUUAAGGAAAAGGUCACUGGAAGUGAUCCCUUCUGGGCCUCUUGAUUUCCAUUCUGACAUCUAUAUGACCUGAUAAAUAGAAAGAAAAAAAAACAGAAGAAAAGCGGCACCCGGGUUCAUAGUAAGCAUCAAGACAGGAUACUGAAAGAAGGGAGAAAGGAGAUUGCAAGUCCAAUCCUGAUAAAAUGAUCAACAAAGAGUAUCAAAAUGGGGCCAACAUAAAGACCCAUUGAGGUUAGCAGAUGGCAUGGCAUUUUUCUCCUUAAGUUUUCCAUGAUUAGACUUGAAGUCAAAAUUUCACAUGUAAAUUUGUAUUUCUACAUUUCCCACUGACGACACCCAACUUCAACUUGAGUUAGAAUAACAUUGUGUGAACUUAUCUGGCCCUCAAAAUUUACUGUGAAGUGCUUUCUGCGUGUGAAGAUUCAGAAAAGCACCAAGGGAACAUGUAUGGUCUGCCUUUUUCUGAUGUUAUGUUUGUCUCUAAUUCUGUUCCAUGUCAUGGUAAAUGUUCACAUUGCUUGUAUGGAACACACCAGGAUCACUUUUUCGGGUUUAUUUUGAGGCUUCAUAUUGGGUUCAUAUUGGGUUCAAUGCUUUUAAUGUGUUCAUUAGACAAAUCUGAAUUAUCAUAUGCAUUUAGAUAAGAACAAUAAUGUGAAACCCUAGUUACACCUCCCCUGCAUAACCCCAACCCUGCUUACUCUAUUUCAGUUUACUCACACAAGUUUUACCGGUUCUUAUAAGUCAAGAAAAGGCAACUGAUGUUGGAUUGACUCUCUUCCAUGUAUAAAAAGCAACUUUUAUAUAUACAUAAAAUAACUUCUUCCCCUCACCAAUGUGGGAUAUCAUGGAUUUAUUCUGGAAACACAUCAAAGGAACAUCUUUUCUCUUGGGUGACCCUAAGUGGUGAGUCAGACCAUUUGCAUGCCAUUGAGUUGCACAGUUGGAUAAAUGCACCUACCUCCUGGGCUCCAGAGUUAAAAGGGUGGAUCCCUGGAUCGCAACCCUCUUGGCAUCUUGGUUUCCAUUCCAACAUCCACAUGACUUGACAAAACAAAAAACAGAAUAAAAUCAUCACUAUUUUCAUGCUAAGCACCAAUACAUGAUGGAAAUCAUUGCUUAAAGAUUUGGGGUCAUUUAGGUUUUGACUGCCUCCUAACACCUCACCUAAUCACAAGUUUUUAUGCUUACAAAUCAAAUAUCGUUCUUCAUUAUAUUAAAAUCAUUUUAAGAUUUCAGAUCCAUCUGCUAAUUAUGAUUAUGAUAACAUUAAUUCACCUGUGCUUCUCAUUUUCGACACACAAGGCAUCUAGGUUUGCAGGAUUUCCUUAUUAGAUGAGAUAAAUGAGUACGCAUGGUUAUGUAUGCAGCAUUCAUUAACCAUGGUAUGUGACAUUUAGAAUUAAGAUAGCAAGCAAACUUUCCCUGCAGCUUGAGUAAAUUGUGAUUUCUUAGCCUCUAUGAGUGGUUCCCAAAUCAAAUUAACAUAGUGAAAUAUACGUAGUCCAGUGAAAGGAAAUGUAAAUUAUAAACUAACAGCACUACACUACUGGUAACACUCGAUACUCUCUAUAUAAUGCAAUGAAAUAUACGUUAUACGUUGCUUGUUCCAAGUCAAAAUUUGUGGCCAAACGUUGGCCUUUUUUCAUUUUCCCUAAGAUUAAUGCUCACCUGGGAUAGGCACUACAUGAUUUAUCUGCUCUUUUACUGUAAAGUUGCUUUGUGUAUGAGUUACACCUCCCCUGCACACCCUCAACAUUUGUUGCUCUGUUUUCCUUGUGUCCAGACGAGGAUAUUAAGUGGGGGCUGACAAAACGACUGCUAGCCAAGGAUUUACAAGGUCCUGGUUUGACGCUUCCGCGAAAGUAUUUUUGAAAAUAUACACAUAGAGAUUGCGCGUUCGGUGCAAUGCAACAAUGUGAGCCAUUCUGAAGUUUUUAAUUUCAGAUUAAUGAAUGCUACAAAAUUCUAAGAAGGGCCGUUUCCAAAUAUUUGAGUUCAUUUAUCCGAACAUCGGAUAAGUAAUGAUCAUAGAUUAUUAUUAUUAUCUGACGUUCUUAUAAUGGUUGGCAUUAUAAGAGGGUAUAUGCUUCUUUCUCUAGCCCCUCCUUCAAGGGAGGGACAAUGUGAUCUGUAUCGUUAGAAGCUAUUCCAUGUCGUCAUCUUUUGGCUUAAGUCAAUACUAAAAUAUAUGGGCGGGGCCCCUGUCAUUUUAUAUUUCUUCUAGAAGGUUUGUUCUGGAAAUCUUUCACCGAAACAUAUCUUUUUCUUCUCUACGUGAUCCGUGGUUGGAAAGUUAGAAAAAUGGGUCCGUUCACAAGCCACCGAGUUGAAAAGUUGGAAAAAUGGCAACACCGCCAACCUCUUGUAUUCGAUAGUUAAAUAAAAGGUCACUGGAAGUGAGAUCCCUUUUGGCCUCUUGAUUUUCAUCCCAGCAUCUCUAUGUCCUGAUAAACUAAAAAACUAAAAAAAAAACAGUACGUGGGUUGGUGUUAAGCAUCAAGAGUCAAGACAUGAUAAUGGAGAGAAAGGAUAUUCAAAUUCCAGUUCUGACAACAUGAUUUUCUUUCCUGAACAACCAUGUUAUAUUUGAUCAAGAAAGAGUAGUGCAUGUGGCCAGGAUCAAGACAUACAUUAAUUUCCACAUGAUGAAGACAGUUUCUGAGAGUUUCUUCUAAAGCUCUUGCGCUAGUAGGCUUCAAGUCAAAAUUUCCCAUGUAAACACUGGAUUUUCUUUAAUUGCCACUAAGGAUACAGUUAAAAUUGACUUAAAAUCCUACGUGAUAUAUAUCUUUAACAAAAGUAUAUUGUAUAUAAUAUUUGAAAUAAUGUUGAUUCGUUGUGGAAAUAUGUUUGUAAGGAAAGUUGUUGACAAUUUAAUAUAGUAUAAGAAGAAAAAAGUUAUCAACUAGAGAUGAGUAUGUAAAGUGAGGCUCACGAUUCAACGCGUAAAUAUAAGAUAUUUUAAGGCUCAAUAGUUAUGAUAUCUAUUUUAUUUUUUGUAUCCCAUAUAUUCAAAGAUACAGUAAAAUGAUUUUAUAUAUAUGAACAUAGCCGAUAGUAUCAUGUUAAAACCUUAUAUGACUCUUUGUGCCAAUUGAUUUUUAUCUUUAUUUUGUGUAUUAGUAAUUAGUAUUAAAGUUUUUACUAACAUAAUAAUUGAUAUAAAAGCUUUUUCCAAAAGAGUCAAACAGAGCAAAACACUUAUUAUAAAAAGAAUUUUGAUUGAAGGUGGAGUCAAUUAUUCUUUAUUCAACAUGUGAUGCAUACAGCGGGUACUUCAUAACUAAAGUAUAUAAGUGCAACAUCUCUUAUACAUUCUCAUUCAAUCUCGAAAGUGGAAAAUUUUAAAAGAUUAAAUGGUUCAAAUUUUCCGUGCAUAAAGGGGAUCAUGUCACAUAACCAAACCAUGGCAUACCAAAGCCAUGAUAUGGACUAAGAAUUUUGUUAAAAUAAGUUUCUUAUUAGGGCACAUUAUGUGACUAUUUAUGACAUAUCAAAGGAGUCAAGUGCAUCAAUAAAGACAUAGAAAAUUCAUGCAUCACAUGUACCACUAAGAGAAAAUUGACUUGAUAGAGUUUAGUCCAAAUAGGAGAUUGUUAAAAGGUGCAUCAAAUUCUUGAUUGAUAUAUAUUUUUUUUAUUAGAAAGGUUAUUAUAUAGAUAUUUCAAUAGACUAUUAAUCCUUUGUAAAAAUAGUUAUAUAAUGAGGAUGGUGAUUAAAAAUAUCUCUAUCAAUAUUUUGGAUUAUAAAAAGAAAAAAAAUAUGAGAAAAUGAUAAACAUAUAAAACUUGUACAAGUAGAUAGAGAUGUGAUGAAAGACACUUGAUGAAUGGAGGCCUUGUAUUUCAAGAUGUAAAUAUAUGGAGCAAAACUCUUAAUUAUAUGAUCAAAUGAUUCUCUCAUAUUCAUGAACAUAAGCAGGAUUGGGGAACCAUGAUAGAAUCUUAUAUGCCUCUCCAUGUAGAUUGAUCGAUGUUUAUCUUCAUAUUUUACACCAAUGAAUGACAUUGAAACUCUGAUUGAUAAAAGGGAAAAAGCAUGGCCUCCACCACAAGAAAAACAAGUAACCUCGGUCUAAAUCACUAGUCUACACCCCGAAGAGAGAACUAGCCAAACCUACUAAAAGAGAAACUUACCAAUUUAGAAAGAAAUCUUCCAUGAUAAAGGGCCCCUAAAAGUCCAAUUCAGUCAGGUUGUGAACAAAAACACCUUCAUGUCAAAACAGGAAUAGGUACCACCAAAAUGUAAAGGGAAAGAUGUAAACCAAGUCGAACUUUGGUAAACAAUGGUAAAGAUAGCAUGAUAGCUAAAAGCACUAAAGCUGUGCUUGGUAUGCAAAAAUGAAAAGUGGAAAUCAGCGUCUUAUUCUUUUUCUCCUUUAUUCACAUAUUAGGAUAACUAAUAUCUAAUGUUUUUUUUAUGUCUCAAAUUCUAUUCCAUGUUAUGGUAAACUUUCAUCUUGUUUAAGUGGAAGAGUAGGAUCACUUUUGUCUGGUUUGGGCUCAAGACGAUAAGCCUAUAGAGACUUCAUAUUGGGUUGAAUUGAUGCCCUUGAUCCGAUCAGUUCGUUAGAAAAAUCUGAAUUAUUAUAAGCAUUUAGAUAAAAUAAAUAAAUAAAUGUGAAACAGAGACUAUUCUCUGCACAACCUUGACCCUAGUUACUCAGUUUCACUGCUCACGGGACUAACCUCUCCAUUCAGUCGAAAUGAAUUGUAAUUUCUUUACUGGUAGCAGUAGUACUUUUCAUAGCAAAGAUAAUAGUAAAUAUGAAAUAUAAAUAUAUAGAAGGAAAUCUGGAUUGUAGAUAGCACCAUAAGUAACACUCAAUAUUUACUACAUAAUAAAAGAGAUAGUGUUACAAAGGUAGAGAAACCUACAAUGAGUACUCAUCACCAUUCUCAAACAGAAACAUAGCAGUGACUUAUACAUAGAACCUAUAGGCUCGCAGGGAAAGAGUAACAUGAUAAGUGCACAGCGGGUAGCAGCUCUUAUUUUACGUAUUACUCAAAAUCUCAAACUAACCAAAGUCACUCAGUUGGGAUGGGUAGGAGAUGGUGGUUUGUGGGGUGGCUUCUGGGUAGGAGCUGGUGGCUUCUUUGUUGGAGUUGAAGGAGGCGUAAUCUUCUGAGGUGGCUUGUAUGAGUCUUUGGCACUCUCUGCAGGAGGGUGCCCAGGGUUGUGACCGGAAGGAGGUGGCUUCUGUCCCUUUGGUGGUUUGCCUAAUGGGCUUGGUGGCUUGUGCUCCGGGAGUUGUUUCUCUCCCUCGAGUAGGUUUCGAGUUUUGUCAGAUGGCUUGUGUUCUGGUGGUGGCUUCUCUCCCUGGGGUGGUUUGCCGAAUGGGCUUGGUGGCUUGUGUUCGGGGAGUGGCUUCUCUCCCUUGGCAGGUUCAGUUGGUGGCUGGUGCUCCGUAGGUGGUUUCUUCACCGCCGGCUUCUCUCCCUGGAGAAGGUUACGAGUUUUGUCAGAUGGCUUCUGUUCUGGUGGCGGCUUCUCUCCCUGGGGUGGUUUGCCAAAUGGGCUUGGUGGCUUGUGUUCGGGAACUGGCUUCUCUCCCUUGGCAGGUUCAGUUAGUGGCUGGUGUUCCGUAGGUGGUUUCUUCACCGGCGGCUUGUGCUCCGGAAGCGGCUUCUCUACCUGGAGAAGCUUACGAGUUUUGUCAGAUGGCUUGUGUUGUGGUGGUGGCUUCUCUCCCUGGGGUGGUUUGCCAAAUGGACUUGGUGGCUUGUGUUCGGGGAGUGGCUUCUCUCCAUUGGGAGGUUUAGUUGGUGGUUGGUGUUCCGUAGGUGGUUUCUGAAGUGGGGGAUGCUUGGGGUAGUCAGCAAGAGACGAGGUAGUGAGAACCACCAGUCCCAGCAGCAAUACUAGCAAGGAUGUGGAAGACAUCUUUGAGUUCAGGCUGAGAUUUGUGCAAGGCUAGAAGAAUUAGGUGGCCUUUUAUAGCGGGCUGGACCCAACAACCAAAUGACACGUAUCAUGAUACACAUAUGUGUUAUAAGAUCCUUGUGGGUCCUACAGAAGUUGAAAACUUUGACAAUUGAGGUGUGAUUACAACUUUUGUCCCUAUUGCUUUCUCGUCAGCCGUUUUGCAAGAUUUUUGACAGGAGGACGGUAGUUUAAAAUAAUAAUUUCUAAAGUACUUUUGUGAAAAAAAAUAAUUCCAAACGUGGAUUUUAUCAAGUAAAAAAAACAAAAAAAAGUUAUUUUCUUUUAAAAUCUUUUCUUCAUGAUUCAUAUACCAAAAAAAGAAUUGUUUUCUGUAGGUAAAAUUUUUAAAAUUCAUUUUUAAAAAAAAAAAAUUACACACUAAAAUUAUCUCUUCAAGAAAAUAUUUUUUAAAUUUUAAAUAAUUAUUAAUUUAUAAUUAAUUUUUUAUUAAUUAUUUAUUAAAUUUAUAUGUGAAAAAUGCAUUUAUAAAAAACAAAUUUUUUAUUAAUUUAUUAAAUAAUUAUUUACAAAAUAAAUAAUUUUGCUUUAUUUUAAUUUUAAAAUUAAUUUUAUUAUAUAAAUUUUAAAAUUAAAAAUAUUAAUAUUUAAUUUAAAAUUUAACUAUAAAAGGAAUAAAAUAUAGAAAAAUAAAUUAAUUUAUUAUUCAAUAAAUUAAUUUUCAAUAAAAUUUUCAGCAUUAAGAGAUAAAUUUUUAAGUAUUAAUCAAUUUAAAAAAUAAUAAUAAUCAUUUGUAUACUAAGAUAUUUUAUUUAGUAAUUAUGAAUGAUAAACAACUAAAGUAAUUUGAAAAAAUAAUAAAAUAUUUAAAAAUAAUAAUUUAAUACACUUAAAAUUAGAAAUGAUUAACUAUUUUUUAUUAAGAAAAAAUUGAAGAAAUAUUUUGUUAUUUAAAAUUUUUUAUUUGUUUUCAAUUUUAAAUGUUAUAGGUUUCAAGAAAAUUGAUCAAAUAAAAAUUAAGAAGUCAUUUUUUCAAAAACUAUAUAUCUAAAUAAAAGCCUUGAAAUUCAAAUACACAAUAUCAUAAAUAUAAACACCAAGUCAAUCCUUAAUUAUCAAAUGUUUUUAAUAUUAAAGAAUCAAAAUCACCUACUAUCAUGAUAAUAAGAAAACCAAUAAUAUUGUUCAUAUAAAUACUAAAAAGCUAACAAAUAUCCCAAACAAUUAAUAAAGUAUCAAACAUGAUAAAAAGUCAAUUAUUAUCAUGAAUGCAAAAAAUCAAUAAUUUUGUUUAUAUGAACCAUCAACAAAGAAAAAAAAAAUCAAUAUCUAAAUAUUAAACAUAAUUUAUAUUUUUAUAAAUAUUAUUGUUGAUAAAUAUCUUAAUAAUUAUAAUUUUUUAUAUAUUAAAUUUAGUAAAUAAAAUUAAUUAAUUUUAUAAUAUAAGAUAUAUAUAAUAAUUAAGAGACUAUUUGUCCCAAACAAUUUAUUUAUUUUUUUUUUAGGAAAUUGUCUCUUCAAGAGACGACUUCUCCCAACAUUUUUAAAAAAAAAAAAAAAAACAUCUAUUCAAAAGACGAUUUCUCCUCAUUUUUUAAAAAUGAAUUUUAGAAAUCAUAUUUUCAAAAAUGAAUUUUAGAAAUCAUAUUUUCAAAAGACGAUUUUUUUUUAUAUAAAUUAUUUUUUAAAAUGACGAUUUUAAAAGGAAAUAACGAUCUCUCUCCUACUUGGCAAAAACUAUGGUAAAUUUGGAAUUAUUUCUUCCACAACCAUAGUUUAAGAAUUAUUUUUUUAUACUUUCGUAGACUUAUCAAAAAUCCCUAUUUUGCAUGUCUCAUUUGGCAUGACUUUCUUACCUAAACAAGCAUAUAUAUAUAUAUAUAUAUAUAUAUCACUUUUGUCUGGGUUGAGUCAAUGCCCUUAACUAAUUUGUUCAUUUGAAUAGUCUAAAUUAUUAUAAGCUUUUAGUUAAGAAAAAUGUGAAACAUAAAUUACACCUCUCGGCACAACUUCGACACUGGUUACUCUGUUUCAGUUUAUUCACACAAGAUUAUUGGUUCUAGGGUUUAUUUGGUUUUGGUUUGAUUCUAAUUGCUAAACUUUCUCAAGGAAGAUGUUAUAUAGGGAGUGAGAAACCUUCACUCCUGGCUACCUCCAAGAGAAGAGCAAGUGGUCUGAAUCAAAGAUAUACUGCUCACUUUUUCUUCUUCUAAGGACAGCUAUGACCUUGCUUUAAAAUGUUCGAAUAGCCUAAUGCAACCUCCCAUUUCUCAAGUCAGCUGAUGAUGUAAGUCACCUUGGCUUUCCACAUUCAUACGGUGAGGACGUUUGUGGGUGUAAUUCUCUUAACAGUUUUCAUUUUAUAUGGAAAAAUUCAUAAUUAAGGGUAAUUACUGAUUCCAUUUGACAGUGACCAAGUUUAAAAUAUUAACUCAUGUAUUAAAUGCACAUUAAAAAAUCAUGGAAUAAAUAUAUUUACUAAUAUAUAGUUCUUUUGUCAUGUUCUGUCACAGAAGCAUCGAACUUUCCCUAGAAAUUUUUGCAUGGUAUUCUGCUUAUGAUUUUGAAAACUCUAGGCACCUAAGGCCACUGAUUGCAUGGUUGGAUGAGGAGCUGCAUGAGAUUAUGUAUCCUGUUGCUCCUUAACUACAAAUAUCAGUUUUAAGUAGCAUCUCCAUGUGACAUUUUCCUGAUGCAAUUUCGCUGUCCACCAACAAAUGUCUCCAUGCAGCUAGAUGAAUUGUAAUUUCUUUGUUGUUAUCAACAGCUUUAAUUAAUCUUGAUAUAUAUAUAACUUAGUAGAAGUAAUUAAUCUAGAUUGUAGUUGCACUAAGAUAAUAGGCAAUAUUAUAACAGUGCCACAAUGCUCAUCGCCAAAUAGAAAGGUAGAAAAACUACAAUGAGUAACUCACACAACAUUCUCAAACAGGACAUAGCGGCGACUGAUACAUAGAACACUAUUGGCACUCAGGAAAUGAUAAGAUCAGUGCCCAGCAGGCAGCACGUCUUAUUUUACAUACUACUUAAAACUAACCAAAGUCAUUCAGUUGGGAUGGGUGGGAGAUGGUGGUUUGUGCGGUGGCUUCUUUCCUGGAACUGGUGGUUUUUUUGUUGGAGUUGAAGGAGGCUUAAUCGUCUGAGGUGGCUUGUAUGAGUCUUCAGCACUCUCUGCAAGAGGGUGCCCAGGGUUGUGACCAUAAUGAGGUGGCUUCUCUCCCUUAGGUGGUUUGCCAAGUGGGCUGGCUGGCUUGUGCUCCGGGAGCGGCUUCUCUCCCUUAGGUGGUUUGCCAAAUGGGCUUGCUGGCUUGUGCUCUGGGAGCGGCUUCUCUCCCCCAAGAAGUUUGCGGGUUUUGUCAGAUGGCUUGUGUUCUGGUGGUGGCUUCUCUCCUUGGGGUGGUUUGCCAAAUGGACUUGGUGGCUUGUGUUCGGGGAGUGGCUCCUCUCCCUUGGGAGGUUUAGUUGGUGGCUGGUGUUCCGUAGGUGGUUUCUCAACCGGGGGCUGGUGCUCCGUAGGUGGUUUAUGAACUGGGGGAUGCUUGGGGUAGUCAGCAAGAGACGGGGUGGUGAGAACCACCAGUCCCAGCAGCAACACUAGCAAGUAUGUGGAUGACAUCUUUGAGUUCAGGCUGAGAUUUGUGCAAGACUAGAAGAAUUAGGUGGCCUUUUAUAGCUGGCUGCACCCAACACUCACAUGACACGUAUCACGGUGACACAUGUGCUAUGGGAUCCAUUUGGGUCCUACAGAAGUUGAAAACUUUUGACUAUUGAGGUGUGAUCACAACUUUUGUCCCUAUUGCUUUCUCCGCAACCGUUUUACAUGUUUCCUUUGUGGUGUUUAAUAGUGUUUUUUUCCUUAAUUCUAAAUAAACCUUAAUACUUAAUAAUGUUAAAUAUUAGGUUAUUUAUUUUUAUAAUAUUUUAUUUAUAUUAAGUAUUAAAAAGUAAAGAAAAAUCAAUAUAUUUAUUUUUCUAUUUAGAAAAAACUAUAUAUUUUUAAUUUUUUUAUUUAAUAAAAAAUUUAUAAUAAAUCAUGAAAAAAUAGAAAAACAAACAACCUAAAUUUUAAAAAUAAAUUGUUUUUAGUAAAAACCCAAAAAAACAAACACCACCUUAACUAAACAAAUAUAUAUUAUAUUUAGUUAAGAAAGAGUAAAGUGUAUAUGGCUCAAAUCAAGGAAGAGAAACAGAAUAAGUGGAAGACAAUCAAUUGUGAUAAACAGAUAUAUUACAUGCAUGUAGUACUAGUGACUUUAUCAUUUACUUUUAUACAAUAGAUCAUCACACUCUUUCUUCUAAAUAUUUUGGAGGAUAAUGGUACAUGUUGCUUGUUGCCAAGUCAAAAUUGGUGGCAAAAAUCGGCAUGAUACGAAAGGAUUGGUGAAAAGAUUCACAUAGAUGGUGCUUUGUGCAAUGCAGUCUUGCUCUAAUUCAACAGAGUGGACCAUGGUGAUGUAUUUUAAAUUUUAAAUUUUAAAUUAAUGCAUGCUUCAAAGUUUUAACUAGAUGUCACUUCCAUGGAUUUUUGUUCAUUUAAUUGAGAACAGGAUAGGCUAUCAAACUUGAAGUAAUAUAAAAAUCCCUUCAUUACUGUAACUAAUGAAAGAUCAUUAUCUGCGCUUGGUAUUUUGCCAAGGUAUUUGCUGCUCUUUCUAGCCCUAUCUUACAGUUAAGGACAAUGUGAUCUAGUUAACCUUAGAAGCUAUUCCAUGUCAUAUACAAGAGAUCAAGCACAUUAUCUUUGGGCUCAGUUCAAAACUAUAAUAUAUGGGUGGGGUGGGGGCCUAUACCAUUUGCAUAUCACCACUAUUGGUUUAGUUUGGAAGGUUUCUUCUGGAAGAUUGCUUUCUGGAAACAUUUCAAAGAAAUAUAUCUUUUUGUUCUCUUGGUGACGAGCAGCGGCAAUCAAGUCUGUUGACAAACAACCGAGUUGAAAAGUUUGAAAAUUGGUCACAGCCCACGUCCAUGGUUAAGGAAAAGGUCACUGGAAGUGAUCCCUUCUGGGCCUGUUGGAAGCAGGGGAGGUUAACACACCAAGCAACAAAGAACAGAGAUAUGCUGCUACUGAUCUAUAUUUUUUAUUUGAUCAUAAGGCUAAAUUUAUACAGAUUGUGUAACAGAUAUGACCUCAAAAAAAAGCAUCAAAUCAAGCUACUUGUUGAACAAACAACUACCUUCUACAAAAUAACAUCAAAAUUUAACUUAAAAGCAAAAACAUAAAAAUAGCAACAGCAAAAAUAGAAACAUAAAAAUAGCUUCAGCAUUCUAGUAAUCUCGUUGACUUCAAUUGCAUGUGGUUGACGAUUUCAGCCUUUUCCUCAGCAGCUACUAAGGCAUAACUCUCAACACUCCUCCUUGACUUAGGAGGUGCAAACUCCAAGUCUUUCUCAUAGAAACUCAAAUCUUAUUUUAGGAAGAGCUUUAGUCAGAAUAUCUACAUUUUGACUGUCUGUAUUGCAGUAGACUAGUUGUAUAUCUCCUUCUUUCUGUACUUCCCUCAAAAAUUACAAUUUAAUCUUGAAGUGCUUUGUUUUACCAUGAAAAACUGGAUCAUUUGCAAUAGAUAUAGUGGCCUGGUUGUCUACAAACACCUUUGUACUCACUUCUUGCUUCAUAUCCAAAUCUGUCAGCAACUUUCCAAGCCAUAAGGCUUGAUUUACAGCUGUAACAGCAGCAAUAUACUCUGCCUCAGCUGUGGAUUGAGCCACGACUUCUUGCUUCCUUGAACUCCAUGAAAAAACACCAGAACCAAAACUAAAACAAUAGCCUGAAGUACUUCUCAUAUCGUCAACACAACCAGCCCAAUCACUAUCAGAAAAUCCAUGAAAAUUGAAACUUUGAACUUGACUGAACUUAAUGCCAUAAUCCACAGUGCCUUUAACAUUUCUUAUCACACGCUUUGCUGCCUGGAAAUGAAUUUCACUAGCACAAUGCAUGUAUCUCGAAAGUAGACUUACAGCAUGCAUUAUAUCGAGUCUUGUUGCAGUCAAGUACAUUAAGCAUCCAAUCAUGCUUCGAUAAAGUCCUUCAUCUACCUUUUUAGCACCGUCCUCCUUACAGAACUUCUCUUUCUGGUUCAUAGGGGUAGAUGUAGGUUUGCAUUCCUCCAUUUUGAAUUUCUUCAUAAUUUCUUUGGCAUAUUUUUGUUGGCAGAUGAAAAUCUCAUUCUGCUUCUGGUGUACUUCCAUUCCCAAGAAGUAAGACAUCUCAUCUAGGUCUGUCAUCUCAAAAACCUGCUCCAUUUCAGCCUUGAAUUUGUUCACAAACCCUGCAUUACUUCCUGUUACAAGCAAAUCAUCAACAUAUAGAGAAACAAUUAAUAUAUCUUCUUCAAUCUUCUUAAUGUAGAGUGUAAAUUCACUCAAGCUCUUGUGAAAGCCUAAAGUUAGCAGGUGAGUGUCAAUCCUGCUGUACCAAGCUCUAGGGGCUUGUCUUAACCCAUACAAGGCCUUCUUAAGAAGGUAUACUUUUUCUUCUUUUCCUUUGAUAGCAAAACCUUCUGGUUGUUCGACAAAAAUCUCUUCCUCUAAGUAGCCAUUCAAAAAUGCUGACUUCACAUCUAGUUGAUAAAUCUUCCAUUUUCUUUGAGCUACAAGAGCCAACAACAUCCUGAUUGUAUCCAAACGAGCUACUGGUGCAAAGGUUUCCGAAAAGUCAACACCAAACAUUUGUGCAUACCCUUUGACAACCAGCCUUGCUUUAUGUUUGUUUAUAGAACCAUCAGAGUUGAGUUUGGUUCUGUAAACCCACUUAACCCCAAUAGGUUUUUUGUGUGAAGGUCUAUCUACUAGCUCCCAAGUGUUGUUCUUGUCAAUCAUAUCUAGCUCCUCCUGCAUUGCAACCCUCCAUCUUUUAUUUUCAGCAGCUUCAACAAACCCUGCAAGUUCAAGAACAGCUAUAUUACACCUUUGAUAAAUAUCAAAAAGUGUCAUGAAACCUCUAACUGGAAGUUCAUCAACAUCUUCAUCAAUAUAUUGCUGAUUCUGCUCAUCCCAACUCCAUUUCUCCGUUUCCAAAAACUUAACAUCUCUACUUACCACAAUUUUACUAUUUUGUGGCAAGUAGAUUCUGUAAGCUUUUGAGGUGCUGUUGUAUCCAAUGAAAAUUCCUGGUUCUGACUUUUUAUCUAGCUUGUCUCUUUUCACCUGAGGAACAUAAGAGAAACACAAGCAACCAAAGGUCUUUAAAUUCAUUAGCAUAGGCUUAUAAGCAAACCAGGCCUCAAAAGGUGUCUGUUUCUGCAAUGCUUUUGUUGGUAGUCUAUUUAGCAAAAAUACUACUGUAUUUGCAGCUUCAACCCAAAAACUUUUUGGCAGCUCUUUCUCAUGCAAAAGACAUCUUGUCAUUGAUUACUACUCAAAAAGUGCUAUUUGAUAGCCUUUAAUUAAUCCUUUUUAACACUUUUGAGUAGUAGUUUAGGCCUUUUAACUCAAUUGGCAUGUUAAGGAUCCUUUAAAGCAAUUUUGAUCACUUUGUGCAAGUUUUGGUGUUUUUGUUAGUAUUUCGAUCACCAAAGCAAGUCAAGAAUGAGGAGAGCUAUGAGGAAUCUUGGGCAAAGCUUAGAAUUCAAUUGCCAAGAGUGAAUCCGGAUUGCAAGGAGAAAAAGCAAAGAGGAUCAGUCAUGGAGCAUAUUCUUGAUGACAGUCGUAGCAGCCACUUUUGGAUCACUUUCUGAAGUCCAAAUGAUGCAAGCUAUAUACCAUUUCAAAGCUCAGGAAGUCAACAAUCCAAUGCUUCAAACGGUGUGCGAUUCGGAAUUGAAACGAAGAAGUUGCAGCCAUUACAAGCCAGACACUCUAAAGUGUUGCGGAAUCAGCCAUGUGUUGCGAGAAUUUCGCAGCACUUUUGUACAGUAAGGUGUUUCUCCUUCUAACGAUGCACGAACCAUGCCGCGAGAAGGGAGCUGGAAACUUCAAGAUGGAAGCCAACUUUGCAGCCUAGUGAAGAUAGCUCGGUCUUGCAAGAUAAUUUCGCAGCCCUCUUGGGUGUCUGCGAAAUUUCGCAGGCCUCAUUUUUCACCUGCGAAAUGGCUCUUGAAGCCUCCCGAAGCUUGCUACCGACAUUGGGAGAUAUUUUCCAUUAGAUUUUUGUUGUCUAAAUCCCAAAAUACUCCUUGUAAACCACCAAUUACAUGAUUCCUUAGUUUUUAAGUUAGUAAAAAGACCAAAUAUCUUUGUAACAAUUAGUUUUAUAUUUUGUUGUUAUAAAUACCUCUCGGGAGCCUGUUCUCAGGGAGGAGUUCCUUCUGUAAACGUUUGGUAAGCAAGUAAAGUCUAUUUUCUUUCUACUGCCUUACCUUCUCACUUUGUAUUUUCAUUUUAUUUCUAAGUUAUGAAUUCUCUGAGGAGUUUUCCCCAAAGAAUGAGUAACUAAACCUCCAAUUCCUUGGAGCUAAGGUUGCCGGGGAAGGUUCCAAGUGCAAGAAUGCAAAGCUCUGUGGUUUUAGCUAGUAAUGAAGAGGAAGUGAAAUCCUUUAGUGAUUUCAAUGUUUUUAGUUAACUUAAAACACUUUGGAGUCACCUGGGCCAACACUUGGUAAGGCAAGUGAUUUCCAACCAUGGAAAUGCACUAGUUUACCCCUUGCGAGCCUCUGGUAGGUGACUUCAAGGUAGGAUUUUCUGGAAUUACCAACACUUGGUAAGCUUUUGGACUCCUAGGAGACAUCCAUUAGUUAUCUCUUGCGAGUUUGUGAAGGGAAUCCAAGGUUAAAGAUCACCUUGAAUGGUAAGUGCUCGUGAGAGGCAUGAACCAUUGCAAGUUGUAUCAGUGAGAGAAUUAAAGUGAAAUCUAAUUGAAGGAGUCUUUGUACAUCACCGGUUAGAGAAUUGACUAUAAGUUGAAUCUCUAAUGCGAGGAAAUGAACCAACUGACCAGAGCCGUGUCUUUUGCAUGAGGAACCACCCCAGUGAACCUAAAUCUCCAAGGAAUGUUUUUUUCUUCCUAAAUUAUUCCAAACUUCUGUUAAGUUAGUUAGUUUAAAUCUCAACCUUUACAAAUCAAAGUUUGUGUUUUAUUCCUUAAGCUAACCGUGAAAUGAAACAAGACCAAUUCACUUGGAAUUGGUAUCAUUGAUUGCCUGCAAAUCAUUCCCAGUGAACGAUCCUAGAGCCACUAUACUAUAGUAGCUUUGUAUUUGCUACCCUAGUGUAUGGUGUUAUAGGUAUAAAUUUUGUUGAUCACUUCCUCAAUCAAGGAGCACCAGCUGAACACAAAUCAGCUGAGACACCAAUUAGGCAUGAGUCAAAUGGCGCCGUUGCCGGGGAAUGAAUGUCAAGUUCAUUGUGAUACCAUUGUUGAGCACUUGUGAUUUUCAUCACAAGUUGGUAAAGUUUCUUUCACUUUACUAAUUUUCAUUCUUUCUUUGUUUAUUUACAAUCUAAGUUUAUCUUUUUAAAUUUUAGUCUAGUUUAAUUUUGUUGUUGUAGCCCUGUUUUUCUUGUUGUCCUCUGUUUUCAUUUUUUUUUUCAGGUAGAUACUAGUUGUGUAUGCCCAAGUGGAUACGAGACAUAGGAGGUAGGCUUGUUAAGUGUGAUACACCUCAGAAAGGAGAAUUUGAAGUAAUCUUGAAUAUCAUGGAGGCUGCACCUGAAGAUCAGCAUAGUCACCAAGGUCGUCAAGACAAUCUCAAUGAAUUCAGAUCAAUGAGGGACCGUAUGCAUCCACCUCGUAUGAGUACACCAUCAUGUAUAGUGCCCCCUACAGAGCAGCUAGUGAUCAGACCAUAUCUUGUUCCACUUCUACCAACUUUCCAUGGGAUGGAAAGUGAGAAUCCGUAUGCACACAUCAAGGAAUUUGAAGAUGUUUGUAAUACAUUCCAAGAAGGAGGAGCUUCAAUUGACUUGAUGAGGCUUAAGUUAUUUCCUUUUACUUUAAAGGAUAAGGCCAAAAUUUGGCUUAAUUCUUUAAGGCCAAGGAGUAUCCGCUCUUGGACUGAUUUACAAGCUGAGUUCCUUAAGAAAUUUUUUCCUACUCAUAGAACAAAUGGCUUGAAAAGGCAAAUUUCAAACUUCUCAGCUAAAGAGAAUGAGAAAUUCUAUGAGUGUUGGGAAAGAUACAUGGAAGCUAUAAAUGCUUGUCCUCACCAUGGCUUUGAUACUUGGCUAUUGGUGAGCUAUUUUUAUGAUGGUAUGUCCUCCUCAAUGAAGCAACUCCUCGAGACAAUGUGUGGAGGAGAUUUCAUGAGCAAAAAUCCAGAGGAAGCUAUGGAUUUCUUGAGCUAUGUAGCUGAUGUUUCAAGGGGAUGGGAUGAACCAACUAAAGGAGAAGUGGGAAAGAUGAAGUCUCAGUUGAAUGCUUACAAUGCAAAGGCUGGGAUGUAUAAUUUGAAAGAAGAUGAUGACAUGAAAGCAAAGUUGGCAGCUAUGACAAGAAGAUUGGAGGAGCUGGAGCUGAAAAGAAUGCAUGAAGUGCAAGCUGUUGCUGAAGCACCAGUGCAAGUGAAGCUGUGUCCCAAUUGUCAAUCAUUUGAACAUUUGGUGGAGGAGUGCCCUGCAAUUUCAGUUGAAAGGGAAAUGUAUAGAGAUCAAGCAAAUGUUGUUGGACAAUUUAGGCCCAAUAACAAUGCUCCUUAUGGAAAUACCUACAAUUCAAGUUGGAGGAAUCAUCCAAAUUUCUCAUAGAAGGCCAGAGCAACUCAAUACCAACAGCCGGAUCCACCAUCUCAGCAAUCUUCAAGUAUUGAACAAAUAAUAGCCAAUCUCAGCAAGGUAGUGGGAGAUUUUGUGGGAAAGCAAGAAGCCACCAAUGCUCGAGUUGAUCAAAGAAUGGAUAGAAUGGAGAGUGUGUUGAACAAAAGAAUGGAUGGAAUGCAAAAUGAUAUGAACCAAAAGUUUGAUAACAUCCAAUAUUCAAUUUCAAGGCUUACAAAUUUGAAUACACUGCAAGAAAAAGGAAGAUUUCCUUCUCAACCUAACCAAAAUCCCAAAGGUGUCCAUGAAGUGGAAAGCCAUGAGGGAGAAUCAUCACAGGUGAAAGAUGUGAAAGCUUUGAUCACUCUAAGGAGUGGUAAGAAAAUUGAGCAGCCAACACCCAUGCCACAUGUUGAGAAAGAAGAAGGGAUAAAGAAAGGAAAGGAAAUAGAAGAUAAAGACAGUGAGAUCAGUGAAGAAAAGAAGGACUCUGAUUCAACAAUCAAAGCAAUUCCAGAGAAAGAGCUUCUGAAGGAAGAAAUGCUGAAGAAAUCAACUUUUCCACCUUUUCCUCAAGCAUUACAGGGGAAAAAGGGGGUUAGAAAUGCAGCUGAAAUCCUUGAAGUCUUAAGACAAGUAAAAGUUAAUAUUCCACUGCUGGAUAUGAUCAAACAAGUUCCAACGUAUGCAAAAUUCCUAAAGGACUUGUGUACUAUCAAAAGAGGGGUUGACUGUAAACAAGAAAGCCUUCUUGACUGAGCAAGUAAGUGCAAUCUUACAAUGCAAGUCUCCUUUGAAGUACAAAGACCCUGGAAGUCCUACCAUUUCAGUCAUGAUUGGAGGAAAGGUAGUGGAGAAAGCCUUGCUAGACUUGGGAGCAAGUGUGAAUUUGCUUCCAUACUCUGUCUACAAGCAACUGGGACUUGGAGAGUUGAAGCCAACAGCAAUCACUUUAUCUUUGGCAGAUAGAUCAGUGAAAAUUCCAAGAGGAGUAAUUGAGGAUGUAUUGGUUCAAGUGGAUAAUUUCUACUAUCCAGUAGAUUUUGUUGUUCUUGAUACUGAUCCAACUGUAAAGGAAGCUAAUUUAGUUCCUAUCAUCCUUGGAAGGCCAUUUCUUGCAACUUCAAAUGCAAUCAUCAACUGUAGAAAUGGGCUUAUGCAACUCACUUUUGGUAACAUGACACUGGAUCUCAAUAUUUUCUAUAUGUCUAAAAAGCAAAUCACUCCUGAGGAAGAAGAAGGUCCAGAAGAGCUAUGUAUUAUUGAUACUUUGGUGGAGGAGCACUGCAAUCAGCAUAUGCAAGAUAAGUUGAAUGAAAGUCUUGUGGAUAUUGAGGAAGGUUUUUCUGAAUCUCCUAUUGGGCUUGCUACUCUACAAAGUUGGAGAAAGAUAGAAGGAAUUCUACCUUUGUUCAAUGAAAAAGAGGAGGCAACUGUUGAAGAAGAAAUUCCAAAACUCAAUUUGAAGCCUUUACCUGUGGAGCUGAAAUAUACAUAUCUUGAAGCAAAUAAUCAAUGUCCUGUUGUGAUAUCCUCAUCUCUGACCAGUCAUCAAGAGAAUUGUUUAAUGGAAGUUCUCAUGAGGUGUAAGAAGGCAAUAGGAUGGCAAAUAUCUGACUUGAAAGGCAUUAGUCCUUUAGUUUGUACUCAUCAUAUAUAUAUGGAGGAGGAAGCAAAGCCAAUUCGUCAAUUUCAAAGAAGGUUGAAUCCUCAUCUACAAGAGGUGGUGCGAGCUGAGGUGCUGAAGCUACUUCAAGCAGGAAUCAUUUACCCUAUUUCUGAUAGCCCUUGGGUGAGUCCUACUCAAGUGGUACCAAAGAAGUCAGGGAUCACAGUGAUUCAAAAUGAAAAAGGGGAAGAAAUUACUACACGCCUCACUUCAGGUUGGAGGGUGUGUAUUGAUUAUAGAAAGCUGAAUGCUGUCACCAGGAAGGAUCAUUUUCCAUUGCCAUUUAUUGAUCAAGUGCUGGAGAGAGUCUCUGGACAUCCAUUUUAUUGUUUCUUGGAUGGGUAUUCAGGCUAUUUUCAAAUUGAAAUUGAUUUGGCAGAUCAGGAAAAGACCACUUUUACAUGUCCAUUUGGAACAUUUGCUUAUAGAAGAAUGCCUUUUGGUUUAUGCAAUGCACCUGCUACAUUUCAAAGAUGUAUGUUGAGUAUUUUCAGUGAUAUGGUGGAGAGAAUUAUGGAGGUUUUCAUGGAUGACAUCACCGUAUAUGGAGGUACAUUUGAGGAGUGCUUGGUUAAUUUGGAAGCAGUUCUUCAUAGAUGCAUUGAAAAAGAUUUGGUGCUGAACUGGGAGAAAUGCCAUUUUAUGGUACGUCAAGGAAUUGUCCUUGGCCAUAUCAUCUCUGAAAGAGGCAUUGAAGUUGAUAAAGCAAAGGUGGAGCUUAUUGCCAAAUUACCAUCUCCAACAACUGUGAAAGGAGUAAGACAGUUCCUUGGCCAUGCAGGGUUCUAUAGGAGGUUUAUAAAAGGUUUUUCAAGUCUUUCAAAACCUCUUUGUGAGCUGUUAGCUAAGGAUGCUAAGUUUAUAUGGGAUGAAAGGUGUCAGCAUAGCUUUGAUCAACUGAAGAAGUUUUUAACAACAACUCCAAUAGUGAGAGCCCCUAACUGGCAAUUACCUUUUGAACUGAUGUGUGAUGCCAGUGACUUUGCUAUAGGAGCUGUGCUUGGCCAAAGAGAAGAUGGGAAGCCCUAUGUGAUUUACUAUGCAAGUAAAACACUAAAUGAAGCUCAGAGGAACUACACAACUACAGAGAAAGAAUUGUUAGCUGUGGUAUUUGCUUUGGACAAAUUUCGAGCUUAUUUAGUGGGGUCUUUCAUCAUUGUCUUCACUGACCAUUCAGCCUUGAAGUAUUUAUUGACAAAGCAAGAUGCAAAAGCAAGGUUGAUUAGAUGGAUUCUAUUGUUACAAGAGUUCGAUCUUCAAAUCAAAGAUAAGAAAGGAGUGGAGAAUGUAGUAGCUGACCACUUGUCAAGGUUAGUUAUAGCACAUAAUUCCCAUCCCUUGCCUAUCAAUGAUGAUUUUCCUGAAGAAUCACUCAUGUUCCUAGUGAAAACUCCUUGGUAUGCUCAUAUUGCUAAUUAUUUAGUAACUGGGGAAAUUCCAAGUGAGUGGAAUGCACAGGACAGGAAGCACUUCUUUGCCAAAAUUCAUGCUUAUUAUUGGGAAGAGCCCUUUCUCUUUAAGUAUUGUGCAGAUCAGAUUAUUAGGAAGUGUGUCCCUGAAGAUGAGCAGCAAGGGAUUCUAUCUCAGUGUCAUGAGAAUGCAUGUGGAGGCCACUUUGCCUCUCAGAAAACAGCCAUGAAGGUAUUACAAUCAGGGUUUACUUGGCCAUCUCUUUUCAAAGAUGCCCACAUCAUGUGUAGAAAUUGUGAUAGAUGCCAAAGGCUUGGAAAGCUAACAAAAAGAAAUCAAAUGCCUAUGAACCCCAUUCUGAUAGUUGAGAUAUUUGAUGUUUAGGGCAUUGACUUCAUGGGACCUUUCCCAAUGUCUUUUGGUAAUUCUUACAUUUUGGUGGGGGUAAAUUAUGUUUCUAAAUGGGUUGAGGCAAUCCCCUGUAAGCAAAAUGAUCACAGGGUGGUUCUCAAGUUUCUUAAAGAGAACAUUUUCUCAAGAUUUGGGGUGCCCAAGGCCAUAAUCAGUGAUGGAGGAGCUCAUUUUUGCAACAAACCUUUUGAAGCUCUGUUAUCCAAGUAUGGAGUGAAGCAUAAGGUAGCCACACCUUAUCAUCCUCAGACAUCCGGGCAAGUUGAGCUAGCUAACAGGGAAAUAAAGAACAUUUUGAUGAAAGUGGUGAAUUCCAACAGAAAAGAUUGGUCUAUUAGGCUUCAUGAUUCAUUGUGGGCAUAUAGAACAGCUUAUAAAACUAUUCUUGGGAUGUCUCCCUAUCGUCUUGUCUAUGGCAAAGCAUGCCAUCUCCCUGUGGAAGUUGAAUACAAAGCUUGGUGGGCAAUAAAGAAGCUGAAUAUGGACUUGAUCAAGGCCGGAGAAAAGAGAUUUCUAGACCUUAAUGAGAUGGAGGAAUUAAGAAAUAAUGCUUAUAUCAAUUCCAAAGUUGCAAAACAGAGGAUGAAGAAGUGGCAUGAUCAACUCAUCUCCAACAAGGAAUUUCAGGAAGGGCAAAAAGUUUUGAUGUAUGACACAAGACUCCAUAUCUUUCCUGGGAAGCUCAAAUCAAGGUGGAUUGGUCCAUUUGUUAUUCACCGAGUAUAUUCCAAUGGAGUGGUGGACUUAUUGAAUUCCAAUGGCAAGGAUAGCUUUAAAGUCAAUGGAUAUCGUCUCAAGCCGUUCAUGGAGUCAUUCAAAUCAGAAAAGGAGGCAAUCAACCUCCUUGAACCUCAAAAAGCCUAAGUGAAAAGGGUUUGCUGGACGUGGCUUUACCACAGUCCAAAAUUUUUGUAAAUUUUGUAAAUUUUCAAGUUGUUUCUAUACUUUUGAUUUUAGUUUUUGAUCUUAAAUCAUGUUUUUAGGUGUGUUUUAAUCGUUUUAAAUGAUCCCAGGUGGAAGAAAUUUCAAGGGGAUUGAAAGAAAAAAAAUCGGGUCGAAAUUGGAGCCGAAACAGAGCAAAAACAGGGGAAAAACAGAGCUCUGCGAAAUUUCGCAGGGUGAAGGAAACCUCUGCGAAAUGAGCAUUUUGUUGCGAAACCAUUCCGCAGCACUGUAGAAGCCUCUGCGAGUGUAUUUCGCAGCUGCGAAAGUGAAUUUGGCACACGAGUGCCACUUCGCAGUACAGUAGCAUCCAUUUGGCAGCUGCGAAACUCAUUGCGAAAUGGAAAAGCGUGAUUUCGCACCAAAAGUCCCAUUCCGCAGGGUAUUUCGCAAUUGCGAAAGUGGUUUUGGCACACGAGUGCCACUCCGCAGCACAGUAACAUCAAUUUCGCAGCUGCGAAACUCACUGCGAAGUUGCUGCGAAAAUGGCAAGUUGCUGCGAAAUUGGCGUUUAGUUGCGAAACUUAAACUGACCCCUGAGCUUCCGUUUUUCCUAUUUAUACCGGUCAAAAGUGCUGCGAAAAGGGUUUCAAAAAUCAGAGCACCAUUCUCGCAGCCCCUUCAUCUUCUUCGCCAAGCCACGCCGUCCGAACCUCCGGUCGUCUUCUCCGUUUAGCAGCGCCGGCCAAAGAUCGAUAUUCCAAAAUGGCACGAACGCGAGGGGCAAAAUCUUCAUCCCCUUCGAAUCGCAAAAGGAGUCUGCGAAAGGAGCCAAGUCCAGGUUCUGCUCCAGAACCUGCUCCAAAGCCUUCGCCGUCGAGACCACAACCUUCUCCAGUGAAGCCGGCGCCACUAAAGCCGCCGGCAAGACGAUAUUUGACAAGGUCAGGCGGUUGGCCAUUGAAGAAGAAGCCCAGGGUUGAGAGCUCUGAACCAAUUGAUUUGACUGAGCAAUCCCCUGAGCAGUCCCCAAAUCCUUCACCAGUUCAAACUCCAGUGCCGUCACCGGUUCCCUCGCCAAUUCCCUCACCUGAAGCAACUCCAAUUCCAUCGUCGGUACCAUCUCCGGCACCCCAAGAAAAAGCUCAGGAGCCUCAAGCGCCAAUUCCAGAGCCCCAAAUUGCAGCUGAAGCACCUCUGGAAGAAGUGAUCCGAAGGCCAAUGCUGCCCCAGCCCCCAAUCGAAGGAAACUUGGAUUGUCGAACACGGGCAUUCCAUUCUGAGCUUUGCUUCGAUUUAACAGCAUUCAGAGUGAGGCCAGAGCUUGCCCAAUCCUUCCAGCUGCUGAGGAGAUAUCAUAUGGAGCAUCUGCUAGCUCCAAGGGAUUUUUUCUAUCCCCGGGUAGUCACGGACUUCUACCAGACCAUGACAACCAAAGAAGUAAGAAAUCCAACUCUGAUCCAUUUCAUAAUUGAUGGAAGGCAUGGUAUUUUGGGAGCAAGACACAUUGCUGAAGCUCUGCAAAUUCCUUUUGAGCCAACCCAAUUCGACAAUUUUAAAGCUUGGGUAAAUCCUACUGAGUUAGAGAUGGUUCGCACACUAACCAGAGGAGCUGCAAAUCGAUCACACCUGUUGAGGGGGGAGCUACCUCCAGUGAUGUUUUUGAUUGAUGCCUUUUUGAGGCAUAAUAUCUAUCCCCUGCAGCAUUGGACCCAAAGAAGGGGAAUUCUCCUGGAAGCUUUGUACAAGAUGUCAGAAGGAUUCUUCUUUGGGCCCCAUCAUCUUAUCAUGGCAGCCCUUCUAUACUUUGAGGAAAAGGUUCACAAGAAGAAACUUCAAAGAGCAGAUUGCAUUCCACUCCUCUUCCCAAGGCUGCUAUGCCAAGUUUUGGAGCAUCUCGGAUACCCCUCUGAGCCUCAGCAGGAAAGAAAGAGAAUAUGCCGUGAGCCAUUUACUCUUGAUAAAUGGAAUAAUAUGACGGCCUACAAAAUUGAUCAGCCUGGGCAGCCUCAGCCAGCAGCAAGGAGAGCCUCCCCAAGACAUGCACCUGAAGGUAUAACACUUGCUACUCCUGCCAUCCCUCGAGCUUCACCAGCUGCACCUGCUGCAUCACAGCCAUCCACAUCAGCUGAGCCGAGGAUGGCCAUCCCUAUAUCCGAAUAUCGAGAGCUGUGCCGAGCAUUGGAGACUCUUACAGCUUCCCAGAGCAAUCUUGCUCAAGAGUUGGCAGCCAUCAAAGCAUGCCAGGAGCAGAUGUUAGCCUCUCAGGCUCAACAAGCUGCCAUCCUAAGGCAGCUUCAAGUCCAUUUCGAUCUGCCACAAGCUGUAGAGCCCUCCACUGAGACUCCACCAGAGCCACACUCUCAGCCUUCAGAGUCUCUUCCUCCAGAGCCAGAAGCCCCAACUGAUCCACCUACAGAGGAGGCGGAUCCUUCUGCUUAGCACCAUCACCCCACUCAUCAGACAUUAUAUAUAUUUGCUGUUUAUGUUUUUAUGCAUGUUUGUUUUGUUUUAGUUGAAAUGAAAUCCCAGUAUUUUGGUACUAUAUAUGGGAUUCCUUGUGAUUACUUGUCCUUAGCAUUGUACUCGAAUGAAUUGAAAGUAAUACAAGUUGAAUUUUUCUUGUUAAAAGUUAGCAUUAAAAUUCUCCUUAUUUCCUUUUCUCACAUAUUCUAUUCUUUUUGAAACAUGUGGUUUUCCCCAAUCAAUAUUCGAAUUUGAUAUCAGCAUGGAGGUACCACUUCCUCCCUUUUAUUACAGUCACUCAAAUCACAUUGAGGACAAUGCUCAGUUCGGUUGGGGGGUAUGAGGAAGGAAGUAUUCUAAAUCUUUUUGGUAUUGCAAUUAUAUUGGUUAAUUAGUUGUAGAUUUUACGUUUUACUCUUGUUACUCUAUUCUCCAUGAAUUUUGAGGAAAAAUUUUCAAAUUAAACCAAGAGAAAUUGAACUGUUGUUUUUCACUUGACUUAGAGUAUGGAUUAUGCUUACUAAAGUGGUUCAAUUGUUGAAACUUCUACUGAAAUUGAAUUGAGUUCUUCCAUUUUAAGCUAUCCACACACUGUGCACAUUAGUUUCUGAUUAUAAGAUGAAAAGCUAUUUCCCUCUUGACUUAGGAUAAUUUUGGGACUUGGUAUAUUUGACCUCAUUUGAUAAAAAUUGAAACACCCUGCAAAAGGCCAAUGAGCCUUUGAAAUAAAGAAAGAUGUUUGCUUGCCUUGAAACCCGAGCAAGGUCUGAGGGGCAUAUGGUGAAAGCCUUUAAAGCCUGGUGCCCUAAGCCUUAAUUGGUUGGGAGUCACCGACCUCAAUGCUCGUUACAAGGGUGAAUAGGUAGAGCUAGCAUAUGGUAGAUGCUUGGGUAUUAGAAAUUCAUUCUUAAAAGUCCAGGGAAAAAUCCGAGGAGUUAGUGGUUGAAAGAUCCUUAAAACUUGGUGCCCUAAACCUUAAUUGGUUGGGAGUCAUCGAUGGACCCCCAUUACAUGGACAAGUCAGAAAGAGUACCCCAUAAAGCUACUUUAAAAAAAAAAAAAAAAAAAAAAAAAAGAUGAUGAAAGUGUGUUCUUUUCUUAUUGAUUUUGGUCAGAUUGCUAAAGUGUUGAAAAGAGAUAGGUUGGGGGGGGAGACUAGUUUAGCAUAUUAUUCUCGGAAUCUAAGGAACCAAUACACAUAGAUUUUUGUGGAAGAUUGAAGUUUAGUUCUUAGAAAGUGAAAUGAUUUUAAAACUUCAGUUUGCAUAAUGCACUCCCUUGAUUGACAGUGUUUAGCAUAGGUGUUAUGACUCUUGUUGAGAUUUGGGUUUGUAUUUCUUUAAUGAUUCAUGUGAGAAGUAAAUCAUCAUGCCACUUAAGAAUUAUUUUCCUUUCAGCAUGAUGUUGUAAAUUUUAGAUUAGUUUGCUAUUUAUUUUUAUUUUUCUCUCCUUUAUUGCUAAGGGACUAGCAAUAUGUCGGUUGGGGGGAGUGAUUACUACUCAAAAAGUGCUAUUUGAUAGCCUUUAAUUAAUCCUUUUUAACACUUUUGAGUAGUAGUUUAGGCCUUUUAACUCAAUUGGCAUGUUAAGGAUCCUUUAAAGCAAUUUUGAUCACUUUGUGCAAGUUUUGGUGUUUUUGUUAGUAUUUCGAUCACCAAAGCAAGUCAAGAAUGAGGAGAGCUAUGAGGAAUCUUGGGCAAAGCUUAGAAUUCAAUUGCCAAGAGUGAAUCCGGAUUGCAAGGAGAAAAAGCAAAGAGGAUCAGUCAUGGAGCAUAUUCUUGAUGACAGUCGUAGCAGCCACUUUUGGAGCACUUUCUGAAGUCCAAAUGAUGCAAGCUAUAUACCAUUUCAAAGCUCAGGAAGUCAACAAUCCAAUGCUUCAAACGGUGUGCGAUUCGGAAUUGAAACGAAGAAGUUGCAGCCAUUACAAGCCAGACACUCUAAAGUGUUGCGGAAUCAGCCAUGUGUUGCGAGAAUUUCGCAGCACUUUUGUACAGUAAGGUGUUUCUCCUUCUAACGAUGCACGAACCAUGCCGCGAGAAGGGAGCUGGAAACUUCAAGAUGGAAGCCAACUUGGCAGCCUAGUGAAGAUAGCUCGGUCUUGCAAGAUAAUUUCGCAGCCCUCUUGGGUGUCUGCGAAAUUUCGCAGGCCUCAUUUUUCACCUGCGAAAUGGCUCCUGAAGCCUCCCGAAGCUUGCUACCGACAUUGGGAGAUAUUUUCCAUUAGAUUUUUGUUGUCUAAAUCCCAAAAUACUCCUUGUAAACCACCAAUUACAUGAUUCCUUAGUUUUUAAGUUAGUAAAAAGACCAAAUAUCUUUGUAACAAUUAGUUUUAUAUUUUGUUGUUAUAAAUACCUCUCGGGAGCCUGUUCUCAGGGAGGAGUUCCUUCUGUAAACGUUUGGUAAGCAAGUAAAGUCUAUUUUCUUUCUACUGCCUUACCUUCUCACUUUGUAUUUUCAUUUUAUUUCUAAGUUAUGAAUUCUCUGAGGAGUUUUCCCCAAAGAAUGAGUAACUAAACCUCCAAUUCCUUGGAGCUAAGGUUGCCGGGGAAGGUUCCAAGUGCAAGAAUGCAAAGCUCUGUGGUUUUAGCUAGUAAUGAAGAGGAAGUGAAAUCCUUUAGUGAUUUCAAUGUUUUUAGUUAACUUAAAACACUUUGGAGUCACCUGGGCCAACACUUGGUAAGGCAAGUGAUUUCCAACCAUGGAAAUGCACUAGUUUACCCCUUGCGAGCCUCUGGUAGGUGACUUCAAGGUAGGAUUUUCUGGAAUUACCAACACUUGGUAAGCUUUUGGACUCCUAGGAGACAUCCAUUAGUUAUCUCUUGCGAGUUUGUGAAGGGAAUCCAAGGUUAAAGAUCACCUUGAAUGGUAAGUGCUCGUGAGAGGCAUGAACCAUUGCAAGUUGUAUCAGUGAGAGAAUUAAAGUGAAAUCUAAUUGAAGGAGUCUUUGUACAUCACCGGUUAGAGAAUUGACUAUAAGUUGAAUCUCUAAUGCGAGGAAAUGAACCAACUGACCAGAGCCGUGUCUUUUGCAUGAGGAACCACCCCAGUGAACCUAAAUCUCCAAGGAAUGUUUUUUUCUUCCUAAAUUAUUCCAAACUUCUGUUAAGUUAGUUAGUUUAAAUCUCAACCUUUACAAAUCAAAGUUUGUGUUUUAUUCCUUAAGCUAACCGUGAAAUGAAACAAGACCAAUUCACUUGGAAUUGGUAUCAUUGAUUGCCUGCAAAUCAUUCCCAAUGAACGAUCCUAGAGCCACUAUACUAUAGUAGCUUUGUAUUUACUACCCUAGUGUAUGGUGUUAUAGGUAUAAAUUUUGUUGAUCACUUCCUCAAUCAAGGAGCACCAGCUGAACACAAAUCAGCUGAGACACCAAUUAGGCAUGAGUCAGUCAUCUCCAUUAUUGUUUUAUUUUUUCUUUCCACCACCCCAUUUUGUUGUGGGGUGUAUGGUGCAAUGAGCUGGUGAUCUAUGCCUGCAUCUUCACAAAAUUUGUUGAAUUUUUCUGAAGUAUAUUCUGUACCAUUAUUCGACCUUAUAACCUUGAUUCUGUAUUCACUUUGAUUUUCAACCAUGGCCUUAUAUCUCAAAAACACAUCAGCAACCUCAGCUUUGUAAGUGAGAAAAUAAAUCCAACAAAAUCUUGUGAAGUCAUCAAUAAAUGCAAUAUAGUACUUACUCCCUUUCAAAGAUGGUGUCUUUUGAGGUCCACUCACAUCUGUGUGAACCAAUUGUAGUUUCUGUGUUGAUUUCCAUGCUGCUUUUUGAGGAAAAGGAAGUCUUGUUUGCUUCCCAUAUUGAUAGGCUGCACAUAUAGGAAGUUCUUCUUCCAAAUCAGGGAGUCCUUCUACAAUCUAAUUCUUCUUCAUGUAGAGCACGGUAUUGUGGUGGAAAUGCCCUAAUCUUUUAUGCCAAAGCAUUGUAUUGUUCUCGUGUUGUGCAGCAGUAAUUUGCUCAUCUUCUAACAUAUUUAAGGCAAAACUUUUGCCUUUCAUUUUUAUGUUGAACACCUCUUUGCCUUCAGCAUCCUUGAUUAUGCAAUUUUUGUCUUCAAAACAAACUUUAAACCCUUUCUCAACAAGCUGUCCAACACUUAGCAAAUUUUGGUCAAUGUCAGGCACAAACAAAACAUCAGAAAUGAGCUUUAAACCUGUUAGGCUUUCAAUAGCUAAUGUUCUUUUACCUUUUACUGGAAUAUACUCACCAUUUCCUAUUCUAACUUUGGAAAUAGUUGUCCUAUCAAUCUCCCUAAAGCGAUCUUGAUCAUGUCAUGUGGUUUGUGCAACCACUGUCCACGAGCCAGCUUUCAGAGGUGCUACCGUUUGCAAAACAUGUUGCUGAAAAUAGUUGUUCCUCCUGGUAUUGUUCAGCUGCUACAUUGGUUUCUCCCUGCUGCUGCUGAGUUCUACAGAUCCUUUCUAUGUGUCCAUGUCUACCACAUUUGUUGCAUUUCACAUCUGGUCUCCACCAACAUUUUUGUUGAGGAUGAUUUGUUUUCUUGCAAUGAGGACAGGGUGGAUAGGUUCCAGUUUUUUUAUUGUUGUUGUUGCUUGGCUUAUUGUUGUUCUUUUUGUUCUUCCUCCUUCUUGUGUUACCUUCAUUGGUCUGUGUCUUUGCUUGAAAAGCUCCUUCUACAGAACUUCCUUGCCUCAUGAGUCUUCUUUGUUCCAAAGCUUGUAAAGCAUUUAGUAGUUCUGCCAAGGUGAUACUUGACAAAUCUUUUGUGUUUUCCAAAGAAGAAAUUGUAGCUUCAUAUUUUUCAGGAAUUGUGACAAAAUUGUUUUGAACAACUCUUUCAUCAGAAAACUCUUUACCUAGCAACCUCACCUUGUUUGCUAUGGUAAGAAGUUGUUCUGCAUAAUCUUUUAUGGUUUGAGACUCUUUCAUCCUCACCAUUUCAAAUUCUCGAAUUAGAUUCAUUACCUGCACAUUUCUGACUCUUUCAUUGCCUUGAUAUUCUUCCCGUAGAUGCUUCCAGAUUUCUGCAACAGAUUCAAGUUGCAUGAUUCUGGUGAGAAUUAAUGGUGAGACUACAGAAAAUAAGCAAGCCUUGGCCUUAGCCUUCCUCGUCUUUUUCUCCUUAUGGUUUUUCAUCUGUGACACAGUUGGAUUGGCUCCAAGUGGAGAAAUUUCAUAAUCUUCCUCUAUUGCUUCCCAGACAUCAAGAGCCUGUAGAUGAACAGUCAUCCUGACAGCCUAAGUUUGGUAAUUUUCUCCAUUGAAGACUAGUGGUGCUGCUGUGAAGCUUGCUUCUUCCAUUUCUGCAAGGUUUUCAGAUUCAGGUUUGGUAUACGGUGUUUAGGCUCACACACCUCACUGGUCCCUCAAGACAAAAAUUGCUCUGAUACCAAACUGUUGGAAGCAGGCGAGGUUAACACACCAAGCAACAGAGAACAGAGAUAUGCUGCUACUGAUCUAUAUUUUUUAUUUGAUCAUAAGGCUGAAUUUAUACAGAUUGUGUAACAUAUAUGACCUCAAAAAAAGCAUCAAAUCAAGCUACUUGUUGAACAAAAAACUACCUCCUACAAAAUAGCAUCAGAAUUUAACUUAAAAGCAAAAACAUAAUAAUAGCAACAGCAAAAACAGAAACAUAAAAAUAGCUUCAACAUUCUAGUAAUCUCAUUGACUUCAAUUGCAUGUGGUUGACGAUUUCAGCCUUUUCCUCAGCAGCUACUAAGGCAUAACUCUCAACAGGGCCUCUUAAUUUCCAUUCUGGCAUCUAUAUGACCUGAUAAAUAGAAAGAAAAAAAAACAGAAGAAAAGCGGCACCUGGGUUCAUAGUAAGCAUCAAGACAGGAUGCUGAAAGAAGGGAGAGAGGAGAUUGCAAGUCCAAUCCUGAUAAAAUAUCAACAAAGAGUAUUAAAUGGGGCCAACAUAAAGACCCAUUAAGGUCAGCAGAUGGCAUGGCAUUUUUCUCCUUAAGUUUUCCAUGAUUAGGCUUGAAGUCAAAAUUUCACAUGUAAAUUUGUAUUUCUACAUUUCCCACUGACGACACCCAACUUCAACUUGAGUUAGAAUAACAUUGUGUGAACUUAUCUGGCCCUCAAAAUUUACUGUGAAGUGCUUUCUGCGUGUGAAGAUUCAGAAAAGCACCAAGGGAACAUGUAUGGUCUGCCUUUUUCUGAUGUUAUGUUUGUCUCUAAUUCUGUUCCAUGUCAUGGUAAAUGUUCACAUUGCUUGUAUGGAACACACCAGGAUCACUUUUUCAGGUUUAGGGGGAUACAAAAGGCUUCAUAUUGGGUUCAAUGCUUUUAAUGUGUUCAUUGGACAAAUCUGAAUUAUCAUACGCAUUUAGAUAAGAACAAUAAUGUGAAACCCUAGUUACACCUCCCCUGCAUAACCCCAACCCUGCUUGCUCUAUUUCAGUUUACUCACAAGUUUUACUGGUUCUUAUAAGUCAAGAAAAGGCAACUGAUGUUGGAUCGACUCUCUUCCAUGUAAAAAAUGCAACUUUUAUACAUAUAAAAGAACUUCUUCCCCUCACCAAUGUGGGAUUUCAUAGAUUUAUUCUGGAAACACAUCAAAGGAACAUCUUUUCUCUUGGGUGACCCUAAGUGGUGAGUCAGAUCAUUUGCAUGCCAUUGAGUUGCACAGUUGGAUAAAUGCACCUGCCUCCUGGGCUCCAGAGUUAAAAGGGUGGAUCCCUGGAUUGCAACCCUCUUGGCAUCUUGGUUUCUAUUCCAACAUCCACAUGACUUGACAAAACAAAAAACAGAAUAAAAUCAGCACUAUAUUCAUGCUAAGCACCAAUACAUGAUGGAAAUCAUUGCUUAAAGAUUUGGGGUCGUUUUAGGUUUUGACUGCCUCCUACCACCUCACCUAAUGACAAGUUUUUAUGCUUACAAAUCAAAUAUCGUUCUUCAUUAUAUUAAAAUCAUUUUAAGAUUUCAGAUCCAUCUGCUAAUUAUGAUUAUGAUAACAUUUAUUCACCUGUGCUUCUCAUUUUCGACACACAAGGCAUCUAGGUUUGCAGGAUUUCCUUAUUAGAUGAGAUAAAUGAGUACGUAUGGUUAUGUAUCCAGCAUUCAUUAACCAUGGUAUGUGACAUUUAGAAUUAAGAUAGCAAGCAAACUUUCCCUGCAGCUAGAGUAAAUUGUGAUUUCUUAGCCUCUAUGAGUGGUUCCCAAAUCAAAUUAACAUAGUGAAAUAUACGUAGUCCAGUGAAAGGAAAUGUAAAUUAUAAACUAACAGCACUACACUACUGGUAACAAUCGAUACUCUCUAUAUAAUGCAAUAAACAAUGUCACAAUUGCCUACAAGCAAGGCACAAACACUAGAACAAGUAAAGCACAAACCUUUCCCAACAGUUCCCAGUGACUGAUGCAUAUCAUACCCUCAACUCACAGAAGGGGAUGAUAUCAGUGCACUGCAGCACUUAUUUUACACAUACUACCACUACUACUACUACUACUACUACUCAUUAGCCAAAGUCACUCAGUUGGGAUGAGUGUGAGGUAGAGGUUUGUGGGGUGCUAUGUGGAAAGGAGUUUGGCUUCUUCUCAGGAGAUGGUAGCUUCUUUGCAGGAGUUGAAGGAGGCUUAAUCUUCUGUGGUGGAUUGAUUGUAUGAGUCUUUGGCACUCUCUUCUCUAGUACAGGUGAAUACCCAGGGGUGCAUCCAUAAUGCGGUGGCUUCUAUCCCUUAGGUGGUUUGCCAAAU
Molecule: long non-coding RNA, 45471 nt
Filed under: Vitis vinifera (wine grape)
Lineage: Eukaryota; Viridiplantae; Streptophyta; Magnoliopsida; Vitales; Vitaceae
Description: long non-coding RNA (VVIN_LNC001392)
Source: RNAcentral